This 65012-nucleotide long non-coding RNA is filed under the name Lactuca sativa (garden lettuce). RNAcentral describes it as "long non-coding RNA (LSAT_LNC007641)". The record is from RNAcentral. Lineage: Eukaryota; Viridiplantae; Streptophyta; Magnoliopsida; Asterales; Asteraceae.
GAGAUCCAAUCCAUGUAUGAUAACCAAGUUUGGAAUUUGGUUGAUUAUGUGCCCGGACGUAAGACCGUUGGGUGCAAAUGGAUCUUCAAGAAGAAGAUCGACGUGGAUGGAAACGUACACACAUAUAAGGCGCGAUUGGUUGCGAAGGGCUUUACUCAAACUCCCGGAGUUGACUAUGAUGAGACCUUCUCACCAGUUGCGAAGAUAAAGUCUAUUAGAGUGAUGCUAGCAAUUGCCGCAUUUCAUGAUUAUGAGAUUUGGCAAAUGGAUGUCAAGACCGCUUUUCUUAAUGGGAAGUUGGCUGAGGAUGUUUACAUGGCUCAGCCAGAGGGUUUUGUUGAUCCGAAGCAUCCAAAUAGAGUGUGUAAGCUUGAGAAGUCCAUUUAUGGACUUAAGCAAGCGUCUCGCAGAUGGAAUCUUUGCUUCGAUGAGAAAGUCAAAGAGUUUGGAUUUGUACGAAGCGAAGACGAAUCUUGUGUAUAUGUCAAAGCCAGUGGGAGUAUAGUAAGCUUUCUCGUCCUAUAUGUCGAUGACAUAUUACUCAUAGGAAACGACAUCCCGACUCUGCAGGAGGUUAAGUCCUGGCUCGGGAAGUGCUUCGCUAUGAAGGACCUUAGAGAGGCUUCCUAUAUUUUGGGAAUUAGGAUAGUGAGAGAAUGAAGUAAGAGACUAAUAGGACUUAGUCAGAACACUUACUUAGAUAAAGUACUAAAAUGUUUUAGCAUGGAAAAUUCGAAGAAGGGAGAAUUACCGAUACAAAGUAAUGCCAAGUUGAGUAAGACUCAAAGUCCGAGUACCGAAUCUGAAAUAGCGGAAAUGAGCCGAGUACCAUACGCUUCCGCAGUUGGCUCAAUCAUGUAUGUUAUGACUUGUACUCACCCUGAUGUAGUCUUUGCUUUGAGCAUGGUUAGUAGAUAUCAAGGGAACCCUGGCAGAGCCCUUUGGAUUGCGGUCAAGAAUAUCCAUAAGUACCUUCGGAGGACGAAGGAAUGGCUUUUAGUCCUCGGAGGAAGGGAUGACUUUAAGGUGCGAGGGUAUAGUGACGCCAGUUUUACGACUGACAGGGACAACUACCGUUCGCAGUCGGGCUAGGUCUUUACCCUGAAUGGGGGAGCAGUAACUUGGAAAAGUUCCAAGCAGGAAACCGUAGCUGAUUCAACAUGCGAAUAAGAGUACAUUGCAGAGAGAGAAGCGUCAAAGGAGGCAAUAGGGUUGAAGAACUUCAUCGGUGAUCUUGGAGUUGUGCCUGCUAUAAAAGAGCCUGUGGAAAUUUUCUUUGAUAAUGAAGGAGCGGUUGCCUUGACCAAGGAACCGAGGGAUCAUGGUAGAUCUCGGCAUAUCAAAAGAAAAUAUCACUUUAUUAGACAUCGAGUAGAAGAAGGACACCUCGUAGUGAAGAGGGUAUCAUCAGAGGAUAACCCAGCAGAUCCUCUUACGAAGGGACUGAGUAGGGUUAAGCAUUUGCAGCACGCUAGGAGCAUUGGGCUGAAAGAUGAUACUAGUUUAGAUUAGAUAGUUUUGAACAUGUAAUAGAUAAAUGUAAUUGACAUUUGAUGAUUAAAUGAAAGAGUAUUAUUUAUAAAUAANGCUGUCUUUUGUUAAUUGUGUAGCUAUUGUUUCACUUUGCAUGUUUUGACUUCCAGAAUAAUUGAGUUUAUUAAGAAUAAUUGAAUUAUUCAAAUAAUCCACAAUCGUUCAUAUGUUGGAAGUAGGUAUGAAUGAAGAUUGUCAUGAAUUGGUGUGUUGAUUUUCUAAAUGGUAUUAGACAUAGCAAAAGUUUGAUACAACGCUCAUGAGUGCUUAUGAACUAGUUUUGAGCAUUGGAACAAACCCGCGUUUGCUGGAAUCACCUUAUGGAAUGUGAUAAAAAGGGUGAUUGCAAGACGAUAAUAUCAUAUGGUCUUAAAACCUACAUAUAUGGUUUGUUAUUUGUUAAUUGAUUGUACAUUGAUAAUGCAAAACCGCAUCAGUAACUUGAUGUUAUAAAACGCAUUGUUGUGUAUAGUUGAUUAAUGAAUAAGUAAAUGCAUAUAAGUCGAAGUUUAUCUGUUACUUUUAUCCUAAGAGGGUAAAAGCGAUAUCUCGGCCGCUCGAUGAUUUGAUUUGACUUAUGUGUCGGNGUCAGAACUAAUUGAUGUGUUCGAUGAAGUUCUAUGUGAAAUAAAUCUAAGAUCGAGAAACCAAGUGUUGGACAAUUAAUUCCAUAAGAAUUGGCCGCAUGACUGAUAAGAUCAGAGUUUGACAGCGUCUUUGAGAGCUACGAUUGCUAAUCGGAUUAUGCUUGUGUAUAUAGUUACUAGACUUAUCCAAGUGGGAGACUGUUGGAAUAGUGUCUAAGGCUGCAACUAUAUUUCGCAAGUAUUUGACUCGAUUGUGCAUGGUCCUUUUGGGUUACCUUCACCAUAGCAACUUGACAGGUUGAUUUAUAAUGAGAGAAGAAAUAUUAUUAACAUAUUAUGAGAAUAAUAUAAGGAAUAAUAAUAUUGUUAUUUGAUUAAUAUAAGUCAUAAAUUAAUUAGGAAUUAAUUUGGUGACUUAAAGAGAUUAAUUAAAUAAAAGGGCAUAAACUGUCAAUUGUAUGAUAGUUGUACUUUAGGCCAUAAUCCCUUAUGGAUAAGGGGUGGAUGGUUUUGGGGCUUUGGAUAGACCUAGAAUUCAUCCAAGGCUUAUCAUUAGGGAGAUUGGAUUGCUUAGGGCCUAAGUUAUCCAAUUAGGGUUUAAGGGUGAAACCCUAGGAGCCUCACUAGUAUAAAUAGACCCAUGGGGUCAAGGAAAUCGGCACUCUUGUUUUUGAAGAAACCCUGGUCAACUUCCUCUCCUCUUCUCUCUCUCUCUAAUCAUCCUCUUGCUAAGUUGGUGUUUGUAAGCCAUUAGAAGAGUGACAAUUGUGACUCUAAGCUCCAAGGACAAGAAGAUUCAAGCAAGAUACUUAAGGUAAUCUUUUAGAUCUGUGAACUGUAGAUGUAUGUAUUUCCUUUGUAUACUUUCCUUAAAUGUGAACUGUAGAUGUAUGUAUUUCCUUUGUAUAGUUUCCUUGUAAAAUGAUAAUGUAUGUUUCCAGAAAAUCCAAUAUUUUCUUAAAGGUGAGUUGUAGUGUUAAACCUUAAGACCAAAAUUGUACAAGUAUUGUUGUAUUGAAUAAUUAUAUGUAGUUAUACCUUUGUAUAAAACUAAUGAAGUGUAAGCUUCCCGUAAAUAGAGAUAGUAUCGCUAAUCCCAAUUUGAUUUAUUAUAAACAUGCUUGAUAUAACUGAUAUGCCAUAAUGACGUUCUUCAGGCGUCGAAAUUGGUAGACAUUUUUCACCUUAUACUUGCCGGUCUAACUAUUGCCAACAACUGAGGUGAGGGGUUGUCAAUCUCGUAUAGAUCUAUACACAAUGGUCUCACUCUCCGUCCAGGAGACUCUGGUUAUAAUGCAGGACAUUAGGUGUAUGCUAGGUAGGUACGGUUAAGAGAAUUUCUCACAAGAGCAUUAACUGAUUUACGUGAACUAUGACUCCUUUUUCUUGUAAAACGAAAUAAGUAUAUCUUUGAAAAAUUAUAUGUAUCUUCUAAAUUGAAGGUGUGGUUGGUGAUUUGCAAACUAUACUAAUUAUAGUUUAUCUUGUUUGUUUGAAAUUAUUUAUAUAAUCUUUUGUAUAAAUAUGAAAGUCAAUUUUUAACUAGUAUUAAAAUAUCAAAACAUAAUACUUUUGGGUUAAAACCCAACCAUUUAGUAAAUGACCAUAAUGUAAUCAUUUUUGCUAGAUAGCUCAAAAAGUUUCCAAAAACCAUAUAGUUUUACAAAUCAUAACUUUUCUUAUGAUUAUAUAACAUUGAUUAUGUCUGUUUUAACAAUAUGUAUAUCACAAAUAUUUAUACCAAAAAAUAGUAUAAACCAUAACUUAUGCAAAUAGAUGAAAACAUGUAAUUAUUUUUGGGAUAAAUAAAGUUUUACUUGUAUUCCCCCACCCAAAAAAAAUACAAAAAAAAAACAUGAAAAAGCAUGAAAAUGUGGGGGGGUAUGAACUCACCUUGCAAGGAUUUGUGGGUUGAUUGAGAUGAUAGUGUGAAGGUCUUCAAGUCUAAGAACUUGAAUGGUUUGAUGAACUUCUUGGUGUUGUUGGUAUCCUAAGGUUUUAACACAUAAUAAUAUUUGUGUAAAAACAGUGAAACUAACUUAAAAUCAUAUAUAACACUAGCGUAUUAUGGAAAUACAUACCAAAGAAAUCUAAGGGUGAACUUUGGCUUAAAUCCUUUGAAACAUGGAAAUUGCUUCUUGAGGAAGGAGGAAUUUAACAGUAACUAGGAUGAAGAUGGUGGUGAGGUUUUGUAAAGAUAUUCUCAUUGAAAUCAAAAGGAGAAGGAUGGAUGUCAAGUUUUCUUUGAUAACUGGUGGUUAUUUCAUCGAUAUAUGUUGGGUUAUCUAACGUGGGAUAUUGUGAACUUUGCAUGGGAAAAGGGUGGGAUAUUGUUCGAUUAGUGUCUAAGCCCAUACCUAUAUUUGUUAUGUACUUGAUCCGGUUAUGCAUGGUCCUUUUGGGUUGCCUUCACCAAAGCAACUUGAUUGGAUGAUUUAUGGAGAAUAAGGUUAAUUAUGAUUUAUUAAUAUAUUAUAUGAAUAAUGUAGGAGAAAUCAUAUUGUUUAACUAAUAUUAGUGAAGAAUUAAUUAAGAAUUAGUUUUGUGACUAAAAGACAUUAAUUAAACUUAGGGGACUGGAAUUGUAAUUAUAAGAUAACUACAAUUGGGCUAUGGAUCUCCUUGGAACAUAGGUUGGACGAAUUUUAUGGGAAGCCCAUAGGGAAUUUGUCCAAGGGGUGUUCUAAAGGGAGUCCAUGGGCUACUUGGAGCCUAAGCAGUCAAAUUAGGGUUUCGUUGUUUGAUAACCCUAAUGGCCUCACUAUAUAAAGACCCCUAUGGCCCAAAAAACGUGGUGAACUCUUUUGGAAGAACCCUAGGACGGUUUUUGGUGCUCCUCCUCCUUCUCAUUAGUCAUUCUCUUGUUUGUGGUGUUUGUAAGCCAUUAGAGGGGUGACAUUUGUGACUCUAAGCUCCAAAGAAAGAAGAUUGAAGAGAUUCAAUCCAUUCUACAAGUGGUAAUCAUCUAGAUCUAUUCUUAUACGAUAAUUUCGAAGUGGAUAUGUUAGAUUAGGGUUCUUGAGCCUUGGAUGAUCUGCAUGUACAUUAGAGAAACCUAGAUCCAAGCAUUAGGGUUUGCAUGAGCACAUAGGAUGUUCUUUUGUAUAAAACCCAUGAGUGGUAUCAAACCCAUGAUUGGCUUCUGUUGUAUUUGGUGUCUACAUGUUCAUCCAUUUCCUGAAAAUCAUUUUUCUGCCCUCUGCCCGACCUGACUCGACAUGUCAGCGGAUGAACUCGACGAGUCUAGUCAUUGACUCGGUGAGUCCAAGGGUCAGACAGAGGAUAUUUCGUGAUUCUUGUUGUUUUGGCUAUGGGAUAAUUACCAUAAACACUUUUUAUUAAUUAAAUCCGAAUUUGAUCAAUAUUUGGUGAUUAUCCUUGCCAAAAUAGAAGAUAAUUAUCAAAAUUAAGAUAAUUACUUGUUUUAUAGAUAAAUAUUAAUUGUUUUUAAUUUUGUUUUGAAUUAUCUAGUUAGAAAUUGAAUUAGGUCAAAUUUAGAUAAUUACUAAUUAUUUGAUUAAUUAUAAUUAUUUGCAAUUUGAUAUUGAUGGUUUUGAAAAGUUUCAAAAGUUGCCCUCAAGUUUUGGAAUUUAAAUUUUUGAUUAAAAGUUUAAUUUUGAAAUAUUUAAAUUCUAAACCAUAAUGAUUUGAAAUGUUUCAAACCUUGGGCUCAAGUUUUAGAAUUUAAAUUUUAAUUAAUAGUUUAAUUUUAAAAUGUGAAAUUCUAAAACCCUAAUUUUUUAAAAGUUCAAAUUGCACCCUUAUGGUUUUAUUAAAUUAAUUAAGUGUAUAAUUAAAAGAGAGUUAAUAAAUCCAUAAUGAUAUGGUUUACAUUUAAUUAAAUUAAUAGUGCAAUUUGUUAAAUUAGACCACAUACUAUUUUAAAAGUGUAAAAUACACUCUUAUACAAUAUAAAAUUAAAAGUCUAAUAUUAUAUAUGUAUAACUUAAACUGCUAGUCUUACCGUUAGUAGGCCUCAUUCACGAAGUCGAUCUAUAAGGGGUGUUUAAGGAAGCGGCCUGUAAAAUGACCGCCAUUGGUUAUCCAUUCUUACCCACCGCACUCUCGACUACUGGAGGUUUGUUAGCCGAACGGGUAGGAUGGGGCAAACGCUUUCCAUUAGAAGUAUAAUGAAUUAUAAAGUAACUAAUGUUUUUACAAAAUUCUCAAUCUUAGUUACCUUAGGCAAAAGUAAAUUUGAUGCAAUUCCUUGAAAUUACACUUUGUACCCUUGCUAAGACGUUAUUUGAGUGUGUGUGGUUAACCGACACACUAUAUGGGGUCUAAGCCAUGGUAGCGAAGGGUGACUCGAUGUUUGUCAUAGUUCAGUGGAGCGUGUGUGGUUAACCGACACAUUGAAUACAUGACUGUAACAUUGGGGGCACCAUGUAAGUUUGCAUGGUUAUUCACACCCUGUUUUGUGAUCCUUGGCAUCCCAGUCACAAAUCGAGGGGCAUAUCGAGAUUUAAACAUGCCAUUGAAAAGUUCAAUGAAUCUCAAAGGAUCUAGGAGUUUUCAAUACAUUUAAAACAUAAUCUCUUUUUUGUUUUUCAUGGUGGAAAAUUAGUGAAUCGUUAUUUAGUUACCUUCAAAUGUUCUGCAAUUUGGGUUACGACAUCUCUCUUCCACGUUGUAGAGUAUUGUGCUGGGUCCUAGCCUUAAUAUCUCAUUUGGGUGUUUUAUUAAGGAUUCAAUCAAUCAAUCAUCUAACUUUAAUUUUUCUCCCGUUUUGUAGAUUUCAAAGUAUGACAACUAUGGUCUUCCGAAAUUCCGUGGAAGAAGCUUUCAACAUGAAGAUGAUAUUCCAUGAUUCGAUCUAGGAACACGCGAUCAUGCUUCACUUCCUCCACCUCCUCCUAUUGUUCUCCCUAAUUCACAAGUUCAAAGGCUUGAAAAUUUCAAGCUCACUCAAGUCUUUUUGGCAAGUAAAAAUGAAGAAGGAAAGUCAGUGUGUGCACACGUCUUAGAGAUAAAGUCACACAUGAUAGGUUAAGAAUGUUGGGAGUCGUUUUCUUUGAGAAGUUGGCUGUUGACUGGGUUCUUCAGUCGCUUCCUGACUCAUAUAGUGAGUUUGUAAGAGAGUACUAUAUAAUAGACCACGACGUGAUCCUCAUCGAUCUCACCUAUUUGCUUGUUGCUACUGAAUCAGCAAUGAUUUGGCGCACUGGAGAAGCAAAGUUGAUUGAUGGAUUUGCCUUCCAAACCUCUAUGAACAUAGGCAAUGGCAACGAAAGGCAUGCCAUGGUCUAAAAGUUUGAUCAUAAGAAAAAGGCAAAGUCUGAAGUAGUUUCGUGUGUUGUUCCGAAAGAUUCAAUUUGUUUUUAUUCCCAAGAGAAGGGGCAUUGGAGACGAAGCUUCCCGGUCUACCUGAGAGAUCUAAGAGAUGGGAGAUUCGAAACAUUUGGCUCUGCUUCUAGUAAAAUCGAUUAACUAACUCUAUAAGUUCCUAUUUUUGAUUCUUGAUACAUUAUGUGAUAAGAUUGCAUUUUUGGCUGUUUUGUAGAAUUGAAGAAAAGAAAGGAAGCUUAAAGCAAUAAGUGAGCGGAGUCUGAUCGCAAAGAGAUGGAUUUUGAUCGCAUGGAUUCAAAUAUCGGAUUUUAAACUGCUCCUUUAGAGUUAGGAUAGAUUGCUAAUAAAUGUAAUAGCAUAGUUUUUCAAUUGAGUUGCCUUGUAAGGGCAAUUUUUUUUCCGAAAUAAAAUAAAUUUUGAUUUUGUCUUAUUUACUUAUCCUUGCAAUGACAUGUAUGAAAACUUGAUGUUUGUGUAUUUCUAUUAUUACCAAUGUUGAAAUGGAUGUGAUUCUUAGUUAUGUUAUUUAUGGCAGUGUCAUAAUUUUCUAAGUAAGGAAAAAUUCUCAUCGCCCAAGUUUCAAUUAGAUAGAAACUUGGAAUCAUACAACUUGUAUUGUAUUAUGUAUGGAAAUCUUGGUACUUAAGUAAUUAAGACUAAUUCCUUGUUCACAUAAGUAUGUGAGUCAAGUGAAGGACUAAAUGAACUAGUACACAAUGUUGUGCACUAGUCAAAUCCGCCAUAAAUAAUAAUAACAUUAUUCGUCAUGAUUUACUAAAGGUCUAGUAAAUGUGGUUAUACUUACACGAUUAAGUGUAAUUCUGAAUCAUUGAAAUGUUUCAAUGAAUGGCAGAACGAAUAAGUAGAAUCAAUGAAGGCAGAAAGAUAAAAAGUUUCUCUAAUCUAAGAAAAAUGGAGAGUACUUUUGUAUCGUGUUUUGUGAUUGUCUUGGUAAUCGUAAGAACCAUAUUACAAUUCAUCCUCUAAGGAUACCAUAGUGCACUAGUUUGGCUAAGAAGAGGAAUGGAGAAUUGUUGAAAUGGUUCAGUCAAUAAGAUGUAUCGUACUUUGUUCCAAAAUCAGGUAUUCAAGUGAUACUACAAGAUUGUGACUUGAGUGACAUAAUCUUAAGUAGGAAUGUUCUUACACUUGCAAAUUUUGGUAAGUUUUGAUGUCUUGAAUAAGACAAAGACCAACUAGUACCGAAUUGUGUGUAGGUUUUUCCUUGAGAUAGAUACAUACUAACUCUUGGAUAUUUGUUUUGUCAAGAAAUAUCUUUUGAUAAGAGAAUGUAAUAUGUCAUGAGGUCAUUGGGAGUCUAAAGAUCUUGAAAAGUUUCAAGAGCAAAUCAAGAAGUAAACCUAUUAAACACUAGCACAUGACUUCAGGAUUGUAAACUAUCGUGUUGACAAAAUUUUAUUUCUAUGCCAAUCCUGUAAAGUUACUUAUGCAUAUGAGUUCUACGAGUUCUCAAUUAAAUGCAUAAGGGAAAACACCUUUGUUCAAUGAAAGUACAUUGACUCGCAUAGGUGAGCUGUUAAAUAACUUGGAAGCAAUGGUGGGACAUUUGAUGGCAAGAAAUUAAGAAUGAACAAGUUCUGUCCAUAAGAGUUUGGAUUUGUCACAAACAUUAUCUUAUGAUUUUGGUUAUGACAAAUUUGCAUUGAUAGGAACACAUGCACCAUAAAAUCUAAGUGUCAUAAGGUUUCUCUCCUUCAUGAAAAUGAAUGUGAGGAAACGCUUGCACUAAGAGAGAUUUUAAGGAGAUAGAGAUUAUGUAAAUUACAUUCUCAAAUUCGGUUAUGAUUACGGCAUCCUUCUUCAUAGUUCGAAUUGUGAGAUUUGACAAUUAGUCUGAAAAUUUGGGACUUAGUAUUAUAAGUUUUGAAUUAAUUUAGAAACACAUGUGAGUUGUCUGAAGAAAGGUGUAUGAGGUUGAGAAGCGUAGAUAAAGGCUUAUCGAAGCAUAUCAUAUUAGAAAUAUGAAGUUUGGAAAUGAAUAAGUAUUGUCUUUUAGAAGUGCAACUGUUUUCUGAAUAUGUGUCAACGCUAGUGGGAGUAUAAAUCUUAUACUGGAAUGGAUAUAAUCAUCAUGUUAGUAAGAGCAUGAUUAUUAUUAUUUUAAGUAUUACAAGUUGGCAAUAUUAAUUAUAGAAAAACAAAAGUUUCACUUUGCAAUGUUGUUGGGGUUGAAAAGCUGUUUUUGCUAUAAUUAAUGGAGAGAAUGUUGUACUUCGUUUCCAAUGUAAAAGCUUAGAUCAUGAAAUUUUAAUUGAAUUUAGUCAAUGAUAUAUUUAUUAUUUGCAAUCUCAAAGUUCUAUUAUGAUUACAUCAUCCGUCUUCAUAGUUCAAAUUUUGACAACACGGCAAAUAGAAAUAUUAUGGCAAUAUUAUAGCAAGAAACUGGUAAAGUAUCACGUUUUCAUUAUGAAUCGUAUCCUAUAUGCUUCGGGUAUAGGAUCGAUUGCAUAUGCUGUAAUAUCCGACUGUUCUAAAAUUUUCCGAAUGCCUAGGGAAUUUAGAGGGAAAAAGGGAAUAGAACCGGAUUUGAUUAAAAUAAUUAAACAACUAUCAAUGACAUGCUAAGGUUCGCCAAGGAUUGGUCGCUUGCGGAAAAUUGGAAGUAUAGUCAUAGAUGGACCAUAUUGGCAUUAUUAUUAAUAGAUAAGAUUCUAUUUAGAAUGAGUUGUCAUAUGGCAAUUUAAAGGAUAUCGAGAAUCUAUAUCUAGAUUAGAAACUUUUAUGCAAGAAGAAUGUUUAAAGGAAUGUACUUUGAAUGUGAGACUUCACAGUUAUGGAAUUGUCUUGUAACAAUCUCCAAUAGAGCACCUUGUAAUUUCAUUGGCAAAGUCUUGGUGACUUUGGCAUUGUGAUAUUAUGAAAGGACUGUUGCAUAAAAUGUUAGAAUCUAACAUAUUCUAGUAGUGGCGAGAAUUUUGUAUUCUUACACUAAUUGAUUAGGAUUCAGAACUAUGAAGUGAGCAUCAUUGGAAAUCUAUUCAUUUGAUCUAUUUCAGAAAGUUAGGACCAUCGGAAAACAUAGUGUGCAUGCUAAGAGUAUGCGACAACUGUUGUUAUGAUUCAAGUAAGAAGUGAUUAACCGAAACAACAAAUAAUGAGUAAUCAAUAUGGUGAUGAAAUAAAAGGUGUUUUAUUUAUACUCAAAAGUUUGGGGCCAUAUGGGAUUAGUAUUAUUCUUGUGUUUCACUUUGCACGUUUUGACUUCCCAAAUAAUAAGUUUAUUCAAACCCUCAAUAGUCGCUCAUACAUUGGAAGUAGGUAUGAAAGAAGACUGUAAUGAAUCCGUAUGUAGAUUGACUAAAGCGUUUACACAUAGCACAAGUUUGCUGCAGAGUUCAUGAGUGUUGCUAUAAGAUUACAGUAUUGGAUUAAACCCACGCUCACUUUGAUCGCUUCAUGGAUUUUAUCACGAGUGAUUAGUGAGACAGUAAUAUCCUAUAUUCUUGAAACCGAGAUGUGUGAGUUGUAUCUUGUGAGUCGGUUACACAUUGAUAAUAUGUAAACGCACCAGUAACUUGGUGUUAUAAAUCGUAUUGUUGUGUGUGAUUCGGUGAGUGAGUACAAGUGAGCAUUGACUCAAAGUUUAUCCAUUCCUUUUACCUAAAGUCGGAUAAAAGCGAUAUAUGUGGGCCCCUCGACGAUUUAGUGAUGAUACCCUAAGCGCUUGGCCAAGCCAGGACUAAGUUGAUGUGCUCAACUGUAGUUUGUUGUCAGUCGUCAUAAAUCGAAAAUCAGGAAACAACACAUGAACGAAGAGUAUGAUUAAAAUCCAUGUCUUAGUUAAUACGAUGUCUAGAAUGGAGGAAUAUAUGAUCCCUUAUCUAAAGGACAGGUUGUUGAUAAGAUCAGAGUUCGACAUCGUCUUUGAGAGUUAUGAUUGCUAAUUGGAUUGUACUUACAUUAUAGUUACUAGACUUAUCCAAGUAAGUGACUGUUGGAUUGGUGUCAAAGCUCGUAACUAUAUUUUGUAUGUACUUGAUCCGGUUGUGCAUGCUCCUUUUCAGUUGCCUUCACCAAACAACUUGAUAGGAUGAUUUAUGGAGAAUAAGGAUUAAUUAUGAUUUAUUAAUAUAUUAUAUGAAUAAUAUAUUAAAGGAGAAAUCAUAUUGUUUAAUUAAUAUUAGUCAAGAAUUAAUUAAUAAUUAGUUUUCUGACUAAAAGACAUUAAUUAAACUUAGGGGGACUGGAACUAUAAUUAUAGGAUAAUUACAAUUGGGCUAUGGAUAACCUUGGAACAUAGGUUGGACGAAUUUAAUGGGAAGCCCAUAACGAAUUCGUCCAAGGGGUGUUCUAAAGGGAGUCUGUGGGCUGCUUGGAGCCUAAGCAGUCAAAUUAGGGUUUCCUAGUUUGAUAACCCUAACGGCCUCACUAUAUAAAGACCCCUAUGGCCCCAAAAACGUGGUGAACUCUUUUGGAAGAACCAUAGGACGGUUUUUCAUGCUCCUCCUCCUUCUCAUUAGUCAUUAUCUUACUUGUGGUGUUUGUAAGCCAUUAGAGGAGUGACAUUUGUCACUCUAAGCUCCAAAGAAAGAAGAUUGAAGAUAUUCAAGCCAUUCUACAAGAGGUAAUCAUCUAGAUUGCUCUUAUGUGAUAAUUUUGAAAUGCAUAUGCUAGAUUAGGGUUCUUAAGCCUUGGAUGAAUUGCAUGUACAAUAGAGAAACCUAGAUCCAAACAUUAGGGUUCGCAUGAGCACAUAGGAUGUUCUUUUGUAUAAAACCCGUUAGAUAUCACAUCCUAAAGUCAAAGCUUAUCAACUGGAAGCACCCUAGGAUGAUUCAACAUUGGUUUUCGGCCAUAAAGAAGGUGAUUUUGGCCUAGGCAUGGCUGAAAUCCCUUGGUACCCACUCUUAUUGAUGAUUUGGCCUUAGUGGACUCUCCAUUAAAGUUUUCGGCCUUAAAUAGACUUACCUUUUGAAGUUUUCGGCCUUAAUGCUUACUAGGCUUUGAGAUUUCGGUGCUAGGUCCAUCCUAGUGUUUGUUUUCGGUUUUGAAUCAUUUACUAUGGGUGAUUUCGAUUUAGGGGUAUUCUAGGGUGGGUGGGGUACUAAGCCUAAGAUUAUAAAGCAAGGUAUGGUUUAUGAUUUAUGUUUCAACUAUUUGAUUUUUCUUGACUUGUUAUAGUUUGUUUACUUUCAAGAGCUUGUUGUAUAUAUGAUUUCCAUGGUAUAUAUAUGUAUAUAUGCAUAUAGGAACUUAUAUACAUACACAUGCCACUAAUGUCCUUAUGACUUUCAAGGUUUUGUGGUAGCAGGGUUACAUUGCGAAUUCACUUGCACAAGCCUACAAUCUGGACCUUGCGUCAUCCAAAUAUUUAGGGUUGUCACAUCAUCCCCCCGUUAGAGGGAAUUUCGUCCCGAAAUUAGUGUCUUAGACGACUCUUGCAACUAGGAGAAACUUGCGGGUAUCUCAGUCUUGUCAAGUGUCUUCGUUACUACGGAAAAUUAGGUCCUUGCCUGGUGUUCUUGCGACCCUCACUAUUGGUAUUUUACUUUGCUCUUUUCGUCUCCCUGCCCAAGAUUCCCACAUGUUCCUCUUUGGGGUAUAGGUUCUCGUUUACUCAGAUUUCGUCGAGUAUGACUACAAGAGUUUCAGCGAUCAGACACUUUUGUGGAGUGUGGGAGUGAUGAUGGUAAGUUCUUGUGGUAGCCGAAAUCUAUAAGCCACUGGGCCGAUCUUGGCGAGGAUCUCGAAUGGCCUAACGAAAUUUGUGUACUUGACGCCCUAGAGGUAAUGUCUUUAGACCUUGAGAUGAACACUAUUUCCACUAAGGUUGAGGUUAUGUGUGGUGCAGCUGGCCCUACAAUUCUUAGGUUGUCUUGGGAGCUUCUUCCUAUGGAAUUCUGAGCUAGUGGUAUGUCGACCACUACUUGUUCCUUCAGGUUGGCUAAAUAGGUCGUUAAUUCGGAAUAGGGGAUAUUGAUCCUUGAUGAUGGGUUUCUUUGGCUCUUAGUAUUCAAUGGUCCUAUGGACAAUUUUCCCUUUCUUCUUAUGAGUCAGACAGGCGCUCUCUGAGGUUAGAGGAUCAGUCUGAUAAUUUCCUUACUUAUUAGGUCGUUCCGUUGACCGGGCAAUUUCCGUUUUUGUGUCAGUGCUAAGCGGUAUUGGGGAUUUGGCUACAGAAAUGGAUCCAAGAGUCGAUUUGAUUUUGAAAUCAACUUGGCACAUGGGUGGUAUUUCUAAAAUAACUUAUGGGAAUACCUUGGGAAGGUUAUAAACCUUUGGGAUACCCUUGAUAUCCUUUGCCUCUGGUAUCCUAUUUCUGUUGUUGCUAGGAAAGAGCGUGGUACACCUUACAUAGGUACUUAUGAGUUUUGAUGUAAGGGACGAUUCGGAGGUUUGUUGUUAUAGAUCGAAAGGGUUUUAUUAUUCGGUCGGUUAAGGAAAAGGGUCUCUUCGUAGAAUGUAAAAUUGGUAUGGUGAGGACCUAGCCAAUCCAUGUCAAAUGACGAUGUUGGAAAUUCUUAUUCUAAUAGAUGUUAAGUCGAUUUGGAAGGGAGGUGAUUGUUUAGAAUGAUAGUGUAUUCUAUGUAUAUAGUUUUAUCCUUGUUAUUACUACUGCGAAUAUUUUGUACCAGGAUUAGUGAGUACUAGCAAUACGAGUUCUUUGGUAAAUAGUGAUGAAAUAUCGUAGUAUGAUUCCUACUAGGUCUCUCUAUAAUAAUUUGGUGUAAACUAGUCAUAUAUAAUUAAGAUUGAAAAGAGAGUCAAAUGAGUGACUCUGCCCAAAAUCCACAACCAAUCAAGGAACAUGAAGUAAAGCGGAAUCACACAUUCUAAAUCUGUAGAAUCUUAAUUAUAUACGACCCAAAUGUUUACACCAGCCACCAUAGAUCUGUUAGGUUUUGAGCAUUAUAACACUCCUAAGUGUACAUGAAACCCUAAAUACCUUGGACCUAUGUUAUCUCUAUUAUACAUGCAAAUAUGAACUUUUCAAGGUAUUCAUCCUAACUAACAUAAUAACAUUGAUUCAUAUGAAUAUAUAAAGUUAGAAUUACAUACCUCUUUGAUGUGGAAUGUCUUCAUGAAGCUUGAGUCCCUAGUGCCCCAAGUGUGACACCUCAAAUGGUUCAUACAACAUCAUAUGAACUUGGAAAGACUUGAGAGAAUAUACAUACUUCAUGAAAAUUGGCUAGCCCUUUCUAUCACAGAUAGUGGCCAAUUUUUUUUCCCAAGAAUAUGAUCGUUAUAUAGUGUCACAAUUAGGGUAAACCCUAAUUGUCAUGGAUUUUCAUUUCCUUGGAUCCAUGGGUUCAAAUACACCAUGGAGCAUCCUAUGGGUUUUAGCCCAACUUGAUAAUCCAUGGAGUCUUAGCCCGCUAUACAAGUAUGGAUGAUUUACACAAUCAACCCAUAUAUUUAAUUAGUCUUCUUUUGAUCAGUUUAUUAAUUCUAGAUUAAUUCUUGAUCAAUACUAAUUAAAUAAUCUAAUUAAUAUAUUAGAACUUAUAAUAUAUUAAUAAACCAUAAGUGUUAUUUCUCUCAUUUUAGUCUAUCCAAAUGCAUGAUGCCAUGCAACCCAAAUGGACCAUGCCGGGUCGGGUCAAGUCUUACCAAUUAUAGUUAUGGACUUAGACAUUAAUCCAACAGUCUCCCACUUGGAUAAGUCUAAAACUAUUAUUGCAAGUGUGACUUCAUGAACCGACUAGCAAUCGUAGCUCUCAAAAGCAUUUGUCGAACUCUGACCUUGCCGAUGAUCUCUGACCUUUGUUAAUUACUUGUCCAUUAGAUAAGGGAUCAUAUAUUCCUCCAUUAUAGAUAUCAUAUGGACUGAGACAUGGAUUAUAAUCAGUCUCUCUGUCCAUUUGUUGUUUCCUGAUUUCCGAUUUAUGACGACUAACUAAUUUGAACAAAUCAAAUCAGUUCAGGCCAGGACGAGCACUUACAUUUGUCAUCACCAAAUCAUCGAGGGGCCCACAGAUAUUGCUUUUAUCCCAAAGGUAAAAGGAAUGGACAAACUUCAACUCAUAUGUAUUGUUCUACUACUUGUUGAAUCAUACACAAAGGCACGUUUUAUAACAUCGAGUUACCAAUGCAUUUUUGUGCAAUCAAUGUAUAACCAACUCGUAGUAACAACUCAUAUCUCUAGGUUUGAAGAAUAUAAGAUAUUAUCGUCUCAUUAUCACACAUGAUAAAAUCCAUGAACUGAUUCCAAUGAGCGUGGGUUGAAUCCAAUACUCAGAACUUAUGAGCACUCAUGAAUGUUGUAGCACCUCUUGGUUAUGUCCCAUACCUUGGACAUCUACAAAACCAAUUCAUGACAGUCUUGCCUUAAUACGAACUUCCAACGUAUUAUCGACUGUGGAUGGUUUAAACAAGUUAAUCAUUCAGGAACAAUGACCUAGUUAUUCUGGAAGUUAAAACAUGAAAAAUGAAACACAAGAAUAAUUGAAUCCAAUAUGGUCUCAGAAUUUAUGAAUAUAAAUAAAACACCUUUUAUUUAUCAACAUAUGAUUACACAUUAUUCAUUGCAUACUGUUUCAGCUAUCAACUUUAUACUUGAAUUAAAAACAAUAGUUGUCUCUGUUGGGUUUUGAGCAUUUUAACACUCCUAAAUGUACAUGCAACCCUAAAUACCUUGGAUCUAUGUUUUCUCUAUUAUACAUACAAAUAGGAACAUCCAAGGUAUUAUCCUAAUCUAGCAUAUAAAAUAAUGAAUAUAACAAGAUAGAAUACAUACCUCUUUCAUGUAGAAAGUCUUCAUGAAGCUUAAGUGCCUAGUGCCCCAAGUGUGACACCUCAAAUGGUUCACACAACACCAAAUACACUUGGAAUAACUUGAGAGAAGUCUACACUUCAUGAAAUCGGCUAGCCCUUUCUUUUUACACACUCUAGUGGCUGAUUUUGGUCAAGAAUAAGAUCUUUAUAUAGUGUUACAAUUAAGGUAAACCCUAAUUGUCAUGACUUUCCAUUUCCUUGGAUCCAUGGGUUCAAAUACACCAUGGAGCAUCCAUGGACCAUCCUAUGGGUUUUAGCCCAACUUGAUUAUCCAUGGAGCAUUAGCCCACUAUACAAGUAUGGAUGAUUUACACAAUCAACACAUAUAUUUAAUUAGUCUUCUUUUGAUCACUUAAUUAAUCCUAGAUUAAUUCUUGAUCAAUACUAAUUAAAUAAUCUUAUUAUUCUUAUUAUUAAUAUACUAGAACUUAUAAUAUAUUAAUAACCAUAAGUGUCUUAUUUCUCUCAUUAUAGUCUAUCCAAGUGCAUGAUGCUAUGCAACCCAAAUGGACCAUGUCGGGUCGGGUCAAGUCUUACCAAUUAUAGUUAUGGACUUAGACAUUAAUCCAACAGUCUCCCACUUGGAUAAGUCUAAAACUAUUAUUGCGUAUGACUUCAGGAACCAACUGGCAAUCGUAGCUCUCAAAAGCUUCUGUCGAACUCUGACCUUGUAGAUGAACUCUGACCUUUGUCAAUGACUUGUCCAUUAGAUAAGGGAUCAUAUAUUCCUCCAUUCUAGAUAUCAUAUGGACUGAGACAUGGAUUAUAAUCAUUCUCUCUGUCCAUUUGUUGUUUCCCGAUUUCCGAUUUAUGACGACUGACUAAUUGAACAAAUCAAAUCAGUCCUGGCCCGGCCGAGCACUUCCAUUUGUCAUCAUCAAAUCAUCGAGGGGCCCACAGAUAUCGCUUUUAUCCCGAAGGUAAAAGGAAUGGAUAAACUUCGACUCAUAUGGCUUGUUCUACUACUUGUUGAAUCAUACACAAAGGCACGUUUUAUAGCACCGAGUUACCAAAUGCGUUUUCGUGCAAUCAAUGUACUAUCAACUCAUAGUAACAACUCAUAUCUCUAGGUUUGAAGAAUAUAAGAUAUUAUCGUCUCAUGAUCACUCGUGAUAAAAUCCAUGAAGUGAUUCCAAUGAGCGCGGGUUGAAUCCAAUACUCAGAACUUAUGAGCACUCAUGAGUGUUGUAGCCCUUUGUCCAACACCUUAGACCUCUACAAGCCAACCCAUGACAGUCUUAAUUCAUAUCUACUUCCAACAUAUGACCGACUGUGGAUGGUUUGAAUAACUUAGUCAUUCCGGAAGAAUAACCUAGUUUAUUCGGGAAGUCAAAACAUGCAAAGUGAAACACAAUAAUAAUUGAAUCCAAUAUGGUAUCAACCCUUUGAACAUAAAUAAAACACCUUUUAUUUAUCACCAUAUGAUUACACAUUAUUCAUUGUAUACUGUUUCAGCUAUCAACUUUAUUCUUGAAUUUAAAACAAUAGUUGUCCCAUGCUCCAAGCAUGUACACUAUGUUUUCUUAAACACUAGUCAUGCCACACACCAAGUAUGCAUACUAUGUUUGUCUAUGAUCUUUACUUUGUGAACUAGAUCAAUUGAACAUAACUUCAAUGAUUCUCUUUUCACACUCCCAAAUCCUUACUGCAAAUGCAAGAAUUCCAAAUUCAUGCCAUUUACUGAAAUCUGUUAGAUUCUAAACUUAUAUGCAUUGAUCCUCUUGUAAUGAUUAUGCACAAAGUCAGAAAGACUUGACAACAAUCAUUACAGAGUAUUCCAAAGGAGAUCAGCUCCUUGGAAACAUCCUUCUUGCAUUAAGUUUCCUAAUCUUAAACAGAUUGAAAAUUCUAACUUUGAAACAUUUCCAGAUUCCAUUUUGACUAUCACUUCUGAACAAGAGUUGCCUCCUUACAGAUUAUGUCAAUAUGGUCCUUCCAGAAUUAUCACUAUACUUCCAACUGUCCUUGAGCAACCAAUCUUUGGUAAACCUUAGAUUGUCCUCGACAAUUGUUUAAUCCUUUUAGUCAUAUCCAGUUCUAAACCUUUUCCCUUCUUAAUGCCCCAGGCAUUUGGAAAAUUUUAGAACGGAUGAAUAUAGCACAUGUAAUCGAUCCUAUAUCCGAAGCAUAUGGGACACGAUUCAUGAUGUCUCACAUAAAGACUAAACCAGUCUUUUGCUAUAAUAUUUCCAUUUCAAUUUGCCAAGUUCUCAUAAUUCAGAUUAUGAAAAGGGAUGCCGUAAUCAUAAUCGAAUUUUAGAACGCAAAUAAUGGACCCAUAUACAGAAUUUCCUUAUGUUGAGCCAUUCCAACAUGAAAUUCAUAUAUAUCCUUGACUAAAUGAUUAAAACCUCACGAUCUAAGCUUAUAGAUUUGAGAUGAAGUAUAAUUUCCUCUCCCUUAAUUAUAGCAAAACAACUUUUUCCCAAUUGAAACUUUUGUUUUCUAUAAUUAACAUUGCUAACUUGCAAUACUUAUCAUAAUUAUCAUGCUCCCACUAACAUGAUGAUUAUUAGCAUAACACUUAUGCUCCCACUAGCUUUGACAUGUACUCAGAAAUCAGCUGGACUUCUAGAAAUCAAUACUUCAUUGACUUUCUUACCAAAGUUCAGAUUUCUGAUACUAGAUUGUUUUGAUAAAACUGUAUCAAAAUCAUACACCUUCCCUUAGAUAGCACACUUGUGUAUCUAAACAAUUAUGAAGAGGGAUGCCGUAAUCAUAAUGUUUAGACCUUUUUGCCACUUCUCACAAGUCCAAGUUAGUGUGCCGGUUAACCACACGCGCUCCACUAACGACUUUGAGAAUGCAAAUAUCACAAUUGCUAUCUAGCUAAAAUCUACUUAGUGAAAGUGUUUCCUCACCAUCAUUUUCAUGAAUCGGAGAGAAACCUUAUGACACUUAGAUUUAAUGGUGUAUGUGUUCUUAUCCAUGUGAAUUGUCAAAAUCAUAGUCACAAGACAAGGAUAAUGACAAAUCCAAACUCAUAUGGACUGAACUCAAUCUUAAUUUCUUGCCACCUGGCAGCUCAAGGGCCUACCAUUGCUUCCAAGUUGUUGUGCAACAAAUUGAGAACUCUAAGAACUCAUAUGCAAAGCCAACUUUAACUGGAAUGGGCACAGAAUAUGUCAACACGAUAGGUUAUGAACCUCAAGUUGUGUGCUAGUGAAGAACUUUAGGUUUUAUUCUUGAUUAGUUCUUGAGACUUUCAAGACCUUUAAGACUCCCACUGUCCUCUUGACCUAUAAGACUCCCUUGUCAAACAUCCAAGAGAUAGUGCGGAUUCUAAUCAAGACAAACACUUCACACAAUUGGCCUAAGUUGGUCUUUGUUUUAUCCAAAACAUCACAACUUACCAAUUUCAAAUGUACAAGAGUAGAAAACUUUUACUCUUACAUUUGACAAGUGUUUUAAACCUUCUUUAAGACAUGUCACUCAAGUUACAAUCUUGGAGUAUGACUCUAAGACUUGUAUUGGAACGAAGUAUGACUCAUCUUCUUGAUUUAACCAUUUCAACAAUUCAAGUUCCUCUUCUUAGUCAUAAGAAUGCACUAAGAUUUCCUUAGAGAACUAAUUUUGAUAUGGUUUCUUAAUCAUUAAGAUGAUCACAAAACUGAUACUAAAGUACUCUCCCAUCUAUUCAGAUUUGAGAAACUUCUAUCCUUCUGCCUAAUUUGAUUCUUCUUAUUCGCUCUACCUUACAUUGAAACUUUUCCAAUGUCUUAGAAUUAUACUUUAGCGUGCAAGUAUAAUCAUAUUUACUAAGCUUUAGUAAAUUAUGACGAAAAUCUUAUCGAUCUUUUGUGGUGGACUUAAUCAGUGCACAAGAAUGUGUACUCGAUCCCUUAGUCCUUUACUUGACUCACACAUCCAUGUGAACAAGUAAUUCGUGUUAAUUUUCCAAUACUUGAAAGUUCUCAUUCAUCAUGCUAUACAACUUGCAUGAUUCCAAGUUCCGGUCCAAUUGAAACUUGGGUGAUGAGAAUCUUUCCUUAUUUUGUAAAUUUAGACAUUACCACCAAUGAAAGAAUCAAUUUCAUACUUCCACUCUUGCUAUUAAUGGAAUCUUAUAAGCAACAAUUUUUCCUCAAAUGUCAUUGUAAGGAUAUUUUAAAAUAAAUAAAAUCAAAAAAUUUUCUUUUAUUUUAAAACUUUGCGGAAAAAAUUAUCCUCACAAUACAUAUGAAAACUUGUUGUUAUCUAUUUCUAAGCAAUAUCUCAUAACUCCUAAGAAGUAGCUUAAGAAUCCGAUCUUCAAAGUACGCGAUAGAAAUCCAUCUAUGCGAUCAGAUUCAGCAUAUUCUUUCUUUAUGUUUCUGCACUUUUCUUUGAUUCUUAAAACAUCACCAUGUGACCCAGUCACAUCAUGUAUCACGAAUCUCAUAAUAGAAACUUAACAGAGUUAGAUAGUGGACUUUACCUGAAGUAGAGUCAAACUUAUUGACUUUAACAUCCUUAGGUAAAUUUGGCAGCUUCGCAACCAAUGCCCCUUCCUUUGGCAAUAUAAACAUAUGGACCCUUUGAUAAUGGUACACGGGACUAUCACAGACUUAGCUUUUCUCUUUACCAUUUGGUCAACCGAGUUGACUAUGGCCGAUCCCUUUCCAUUGGGAAGAGAAUGCUUUACUGGAUAUCCAAUGUCAUCAUUGUCAAUGUCCAUAAAGUUUUAGGAAGUUGAUCUUAGCAAAUAGAUAAGAUCAUUAAGGGUCUUGUCAUAGUCUGUUUCAUAGGUGUCCCAAAGGAACUCACUAUGUGACUUAGAAAGUGGUUGAACCACCAACUUUCUCAAGACUUUGACACCCAACUCUCCCGGCUUGUCAAUAUGUGACUACAUCUCCAAGAUGUGACCACACCUAGACCUUGCCUUGCCAAUAGGGCCUGAGUGACCUUAAACUUUUCAAGAACUUGUGGGUUAGGGAGAAUAAUUUGAAGAGGUGAAGAAGUAUGAUAUCCAUGGGACAUCAUCUUCAUUAGGAAACCUUGUUUCAAGAGAUUUGGGAAGAUCAUAGGUGUCUAAACCAGACAUCUUUUGGGAGAUAUUCAAGAUAGUUGAUUUAAAGUCCUUAAUAUGACACCCAAUAUGAAAUAUUAAGGCUAGGACCCAACAAACUAUUUUAUAACUUAGAAGAGGUAUGCCGUAAUCCAAGCUAUAAAAUAUUUGAAGGUAGGUGAAUGACGAUUCACCAAUUUCCACCAAGAUAAACGAAAUGUAUUAUUAGGUUUUAAUUGGUUUUGAAACUCCUAGAUCUUUGAGAUUCAUUGAACUUUUCAAAGGCAUGUUUCAAUCUCGAGUGUGCCCUUCAGGUUUUGUGACUGGGAUGCCGAGGAUCACAAAACAAGGUGUGAAGUAACCAUGCAAAUCACUUGGUACCCUUAAUAAAUUACCCCUCAAUCGAUGUGCCGGUUAACCACACACGCUCCAUCGAUACUAUGAUAAAUAUUAAGUCACCCUUUACCUACCUUGUUAAGUCCAAGUUAGUGUGCCGGUUAACCACACACGCUCCACUAACGACUUAGACAAAGUGUAAAGUGUAAUUUCAUGGAUUAGCACCUUAUUCACAUUUUUCCUAAGUAACUAAGAUUGGGUAUUAUUAAGAGUUUAGUUACUUAGUAUUAUCAUUAAUACUUUUAAUGAAGGGAGAAUUCUAGUCCUGUCAAACCCGUUCGGCUAACGACCCUCCACCAGUCAAGCAAGCGGUGGGUGAGAGUGGACACCCAUUAAGUUGCCAUUUUAUAGGCAACAACCUUAUACCCACCUUAUAGACCGGCUUCGUGAAUGAGGCGUACUAGCGGUAAGACUGACUUUACUCUUAUACAUAUAUAUAUUAUUAACUUAUAAUAUUAUAAAGUAUAAGGGUUGAAUUUUAACUUUUAAAAUUCUAAGGGCUAACUUGGAAUUAAAGUAUUCAUAAGUGAAAACUUUUCAAAUUCCAAAACUUGAGGGCAAGUUUUGAAACUAUUCAAAACUAAUUAAUUCCAUAACUUAUGUGUUUAAAGUAGUUUUAAUCCAAAAACUCUUCAAGUUCCAUAACUUGAGGACAAGUUAUGGAAGACUUUAAACUAAUAAAAGAACUAACUUUUUCUUUAUUUUAUAACUUAUGGAUUUAAUUAUGGUUACAUAUUUUUCUUUAAUGAAGUGACUCUUGAACCUCCAUAACUUGAGGACAAGUUAUGGAGUCAUAAAACCAUUUAAUUAGAACUAGACUCUUCAUUUUGUAACCAUUGCCAACUUUUAUGAGUUUUAUGAAACUUAAAUGUGACUUUUCAUAUAACUUGAGGACAAGUUACAAAAACACAUUUUAGAAUCAACUCUUAGAUUAAUUUGGAUUGAAAACAACUAUUUCACUCAACUUUUCUAUUAAUCUAAGCAACUCAUAAGAACAAGAUAAUUCAAAUCAAACUUUUUCAUGUAAUUAGUCUAAACCUUAAACUAAUACAAAACAUGAAUCUAUUGACAAUUAUCUUUGAAAAUGGAUUAGCAUGAACAUUACCACAUCAAAAACAAGUUUAUAAGUUCAAAAACAACUUAGGGUAAUGUUCCUAGUCCAUUUCUAGCCAAAAAACUCGAAAAUAUGCUGUCUGGGGGUCCAACUCGUCGAGUGCAUGAACAAACUCGGCGAGUUGGAUCGAAUUCAUCACUUUUUAGGCAUGGACUCGUCGAGUCUCCUGAUGGACUCGCCGAGUCUGAUGGCCAGACAGCACCAGAUUCGUUUUUUCAGCUUCUAUUGCAGGUAUAAAAAGAAAACAAGCCUAGGCUCUGAUACCACUGUUGGGUUUUGAGCAUUCUAACACUCCUAAGUGUACAUGCAACCCUAAAUACCUUGGAUCUAUGUUUUCUCUAUUAUACAUGCAAAUAAGAACUUCCAAGGUAUUAUCCUAAUCUAGCAUACAAAACAAUGAAUGUAACAAGAUAGAAUACAUACCUCUUUGAUGUAGAAAGUCUUCAUGAAGCUUGAGUGCCUAGUGCCCCAAGUGUGACACCUCAAAUGGUUCACACAACACCAAAUACACUUGGAAUAACUUGAGAGAAAUCUACACUUCAUGAAAUCGGCUAGCCCUUUCUAGAAUGACACUAGUCUCCGAUUUUGUCAAGAAUAAGAUCUUUAUAUAGUGUUACAAUUAGGGUAAACCCUAAUUGUCAUGACUUUCCAUUUCCUUGGAUCCAUGGGUACAAAUACACCAUGGAGCAUCCAUGGACCAUCCUAUGGGUUUUAGCCCAACUUGAUUAUCCAUGGAGCAUUAGCCCACUAUACAAGUAUGGAUGAUUUACACAAUCAACCCAUAUAUUUAAUUAGUCUUCUUUUGAUCACUUAAUUAAUCCUAGAUUAAUUCUUGAUCAAUACUAAUUAAAUAAUCUUAUUAUUCUUAUUAUUAAAAUAAUAGAACUUAUAAUAUAUUAAUAAGCAUAAGUGUCUUAUUUCUCUCAUUAUAGUCUAUCCAAGUGCAAGAUGCCAUGCAACCCAAAUGGACCAUGCCGGGUCGAGUCAAGUCUUACCAAUUAUAGUUAUGGACUUAGACAUUAAUCCAACAGUCUCAUGCUCCAAGCAUGUACACUAUUUUUUUCCUUUUUCAUAAACACUAGUCAUGCCAUACACCACGUAUGCAAACUAAGUUUGUCUAUGAUCUUUACUUUGUGAAAGAGAUCGAUUGAACAUAGUUUCAAUGAUUCUCAUUUCACACUCCCAAUUCCUUACUACAAAUGCAAGAUUUCCGAAUUCAUGCCAUUUACUGAAAUUUGUUAGAUUCUAAACUUAUAUGCAUUGAUCAUCAUGUAAUGAUUUUGCAAAAAGUCACAAAGACUUGACAAAAAACGUUACAGAGCAUUCCAAAGGAGAUCAAAUCCUUGGAAACAUCCUUAUUGCAUUAUGUUUCCUAAUCUUACAUAGAUUUAUUGAACAACUUCCACCUAUGGGAUCAUUUCCAUAUUCCCCUUUUGACUAUCACUUCUAAACAAGAGUUACCUUUUUUUCAGAAUAUGUCAAUACGGUCCUUCCAACAAUUAACACUAUACUUCCAACUGUCCCUGGCCAACCAAUCUUUGGUAAACCUUAGAUUAUCCUCAACAAUUGGUUAAUCCUUUUAGUCAUAUCCAAUUCUAGACCUUUUCCCUUCUUAAUGCCCCAGGAAUUUGGAAAAUUUUAGAAAGGACGAAUAUUAUAACACAUGCAAUCGAUCCUAUAUCCGAAGCAUAUGCGACACGAUUCAUGAUGUCUCACAUAAAGACAUGAUACUAGACCAGUCCUUUUGCUAGAAUAUUUCUAUUUGCCAAGUUCUCAUAAUUUCAGAUUAUGAAAAGGGAUGUUGUAAUCAUAAUCGAAUUUUAGAACGCAAAUAAUAGACCCAUAUAUAGAAUUUCCUUAUGUUGAGCCAUUCCAACACGAAAUUCAUAUAUAUAUAUCUCCUUGACUAAAUGAUUAAAACCUCACGAUCUAAGCUUAUAGAUUUGAGAUGAAGUAUAAUUUCCUCUCCCUUAAUUAUAGCAAAACAACUUUUUCCCAAUUGAAACUUUUGUUUUCUAUAAUUAACAUUGCUAACUUGCAACCCUUAUCAUAAUUAUCAUGCUCCCACUAACAUGAUGAUUAUUAGCAUAACACUUAUGCUCCCACUAGCUUUGACAUGUACUCAGAAAUCAUCUGAACUUCUAGAAAAACAAUACUUUGUUGACUUUCUUACCAAAGUUCAGAUUUUUGAUACUAGAUUGCUUUAAUAAAACUUUAUCAAUAUCAUACACCUUAUCUUCGAUAGCUCACAGGUGUGUCUAAACAACUUUAAGAACUAUGAAAAGGGAUGUCGUAAUCAUAGUCUCGAUUGUUUAGACCUAUGCCACUUCUCACAAGUCCAUGUUAGUGUGUUGGUUAACCACACAUGCUCCACUAACGACUUUGAGAAUGCAAACAUCACAAUUGCUAUCUAGCUAAAAUCUACUUAGUGAAAGUGUUUCCUCACCAUCAUUUUCAUGAAUCGGAGAGAAACCUUAUGACACUUAGAUUUAAUGGUGUAUGUGUUCUUAUCCAUGUGAAUGGUCAAAACCAUAGUCACAAGAAAAGGAUAAUGACAAAUCCAAACUCAUAUGGACUGAAGUCAAUCUUAAUUUCUUGCCACCUGGCAGCUCAAGGGCCUGCCGUUGCUUCCAAGUUGAUAUGCAACCAAUUGAGAACUCUAAGAACUCAUAUACAAAGCCAACUUUAACUGCAAUGGGCACCGAAAUAGAAAUAUGUCAACACGAUAGGUUAUAAACCUGACGUCGUGUGCUAGUGUUAAACUACAUGUUUUUUUAUUCUUGAUUAGAACUUGAACUUGUUUUUUAAGAUCUUUAAGACUCCCACUGUCCUCUUGACAUAUAAGACUAUCUUGCCAAAUAUUCAAGAGAUAGUGCAAAUUCUUUAUGAAGACAAACACUUCACACAAUUGGUAUAAGUUGGUCUUUGUUUUUUUUUUCAAAACAUCACAACUUACCAAUUUCAAAUGUAUAAGAGUUGAAAACUUUUACUCUUACAUUUGACAAGUGUUUUAAAACUUCUUUAAGACAUGUCUCUGAAGUUUCAAUCAUAGAGUAUAACGCCGAGAAUUGUUUUUGGAACGAAGUAUGAAUCAUCUUCUUGAUUUAACCACUUCAACAAUUCAUAACUCCUCUUCUCAACUAUCAGAAUGCACUUAGAGGAAGAAUUUUGAUAAGGUCUCAUAAUCAUUCAGAUGAUUAUAUAACAUGAUACUAAAGUACUCUCCCAUCUUUUCAGAUUUGAGAAACUUUUAUCCUUCUGCCUAAUUUGAUUCUUCUCAUUCGUUCUGCCAUACACAAAUUUUUCCAAUGCUUCAGAAUUAUACUUAAGCCUAUAAGUAUAACCUUAUUUACUAAACUUUAGUAAAUCAUGACGAAUAGUCUUAUCGAUCUUUUGUGGUGGACUUAAUUAGUGCACAAGAAUGUGUACUCGAUCCCUUAGUCCUUUACUUAACUCACACAUCCAUGUGAACAAGUAAUUAGUCUUAAUUUUCUAAUGCUUGAAAGUUCUCAUUCAUCAUCCUAUACAACUUGCAUGAUUCCAAAUUUCGGUCUAAUUGAAACUUGGGUGAUGAGAAACUUUCCUUAAUUGGUAAAUUUAAAGACUACCACAAAUGAAAGAAUCAAAACCAUUUUCCUAUAUUACUAGCAAUGGAAUCAUACCAACAACAAUUUUCACAAAUGUCAUUGUAAGGAUACUUAAAAUAAAUAAAAUCAAAAAUUUCCUUUUAUUUUAAUAACUUAGCGGAAAUUCUUAUCCUUAAAAUCCAUAUGAAAACGUUGUUGUUAUCUAUUCCUAAGCAAUGUGUCAUAACUCCUAAGUAACAACUUCAAAAAUUCUAAUGCGAUCGAAGUCCAUUUUCGCGAUCAGAAGCAUCAUAUACUUCCUUUAAGCUUUUUCUCUUUUCUUUGAUUCUUAUAACAUCACCAUGUGACUCAGUUACAUUAUGUAAUAAGAAUCUCCAAAUAGGAGCUUAACAGAGUUAGACAAUGGACCUUACCUGAAGUAGAGUCAAACUUAUUGACUUUAACAUCCUUAGGUAAAUUUGACAGCUUCGCAAAUAGUGCCCCUUCCUUUCGCAAUUUUAACAAAUGGAGCCUUUGGAAAUGGUACAUAGGACUAUCACAGACGUAGCUUUUCUCUUUACCAUUUGGUCAACCGAGUUGACUAUGGUCGAUCCCUUUCCAUUGGGAAGAGAGAGCUUUACUGGAUAUCCAAUGUCAUCAUUGUCAAUGUCCAUAAAGUUUUAGGAAGUUGAUCUUAGCAAAUAGAUAAGAUCAUUAAGGGUCUUGUCAUGUUUGUUUCAUAGGAGUCCCAAAAGGAACUCACUAUGUGACUUAGAAUGUAGUUGAGCCACCAACUUUCUCAAGAAUUUGACACCCAACUCUCCCGGCUUGUCAAUAUGUGACUACAUCUCCAAGAUGUGACCACACAUAGAUCUUUUCUUUCCAAUAGGGCAUGAGUAACCUUAAACUUUUCAAGAACUUGUGGGUUAGGGAGAAUAAUUGGUGGAGGUGAAAGAAGUAAGAUUUCCAUGGGACAUCAUCUUCAUUUAGGAAAGUUUGUUUCAAGAGAUUUGGGAAGAUCAUAAAUGUCUAAAGCAAACAUCUUUUGGGAGAUACUCAACAUAGUUGAUUUAAAGUCCCUAAUAUAACACCUAAUAUGAAAUAUUAAGGCUAGGACGCAACACAAUACUUUUAUAACUUGGAAGAGGGAUGCCGUAAUCCAAGCUAUAAAAUAUUUGAAGGUAGGUGAAUGAAGAUUCACUAAUUUCCACGAAGAUAAACGAAAUGUAUUAUUAGGUUUUAAUUGGUUUUGAAACUCCUAGAUUCUUUUGAGAUUCACUGAACUUUUCACUGGCAUGUUUCAAUCUUGAGUGUGCCCUUCAGGUUUUGUGACUGGGAUGCCGAGGAUCACAAAACAAGGUGUGAAGUAACCAUGCAAAUUACUUGGUACCCUUAAUUNUUACCCCUCAAUCGAUGUGUUGGUUAACCACACGCGAUACUAUGAUAAACAUUAAGUUACCCUUUGCCUACCUUGUAAAAUCCAGCUAGUGUUCCGGUUAAUCACACAAGCUCCAUUAACGACUUAAGCAAACUACAAAGUCUAAUUUCAUGGGUUAGCACCAAGUUCACAUUUUCCUAAGUAACUAAGAUUGGGAAUUUAUAAGAGUUUAGUUACAUAGUAUUUAUCAUUAAUACUUUUAAUGAAGGGAGAAUUAUAGUCCUAGUACUACCAGUUCGGCUAACGAUCCUCCACCAGUCAAGGAAGCGGUGGGUGAGAGUGGACACCCAUUAAGCUGCCAUUUCAUAGGCAACAACCUUAUACCCCCUUAUAGACCGACUUCAUGAAUGAGGCCUACUAAUGGUAAGACUUACUUGCUCUUAUANAUAUAUAUUAUUAACUUAUAAUAUUAUAAAGUAUAAGGGUUGAAUUUUAACUUUUAAAAUUCUAAGGGCUUAACUUGGAAUUAAAGUAUUCAUAAGAGAAAACUUUCCAAAUUCCAAAACUCGAGGGCAUGUUUUGAAAAUAUUCAAAACUAAUUAAUUCCAUAACUUAUGUGUGUAAAGUAGUUUUAAUUAAAAAAAUCUUCAAGUUCCAUAACAUGAGGAAAAGUUAUGGAAGACUUUAAACUAUCAAAUAAUAUAACUCUUCUUCUUUUUUAACUUAUGGAACUAAUUAAGGUUACACAUUUUUAUUAUUUAAUGAGGUGACUCUUGAAUCUCCAUAACUUGAGGACACGUUGUGGAGUCAUAAACUCAUUUAGUGAGGACAAGACUCUUCAUUUUGUAACCUAUGCCAACUUUUAUGAAUUUUAAGAAAAUUUAAUGUGACUUUUACAUUUUAGAAUCAAUUCUUAGAUUAAAAUGGAUCAAAGACACAUAACCAAUCAACCUUUUCUAUUAAUCUAAGCAACUCAUAUGAACAAGAUAAUUGGAAUCAAACUUUUUCAUGUAAUUAGCAUAACACUUAUACUAAUACAAAACAUGAAUCUAUUGACAAUUAUCUUUGAAAUUGGAUUAGUAUGAACAUUACCACAUCAAAAAAUAAGUUUAUAAGUCCAAAAACAACUUAGGGUAAUAUUCCUAGUCCAAUUCCAGCCAAAACAAUAAAAUAUAUGCUGUCGGGGUCCAACUCGUCCAGUGUAUGAACAAACUCGACGAGUUGGAUGCUUUUUUCCUUGGACUCCGCGAGUUCAUCAGUGGACUCAGCGAGUCUGCAGUGCAAACAGCACCAAUAUUCGAUUUCUAAGCAGUUUAAGCAAGUAUAAUAAGAAAACAAGGCUAGGCUCUGAUACCACUGUUGGGUUUUGAGCAUUCUAACACUCCUAAGUGUACAUGCAACCUUAAAUACCUUGGAUCUAUGUUUUCUCUAUUAUACAUGCAAAUAGGAACUUUCCAAGGUAUUCAUGCUAACUAGCAUAAUAACCUUGAUUCAUAUGAAUAUAUCAAGUUAGAAUUACAUACCUCUUUGAUGUAGAAUGUCUUCAUGAAGCUUGAGUGCCUAGUGCCCCAAGUGUGACACCUCAAAUGGUUCACACAACAUCAUAUGCACUUGGAAAGACUUGAGAGAAUAUAUACACUUCAUGAAAAUUGGCUAGCCCUUUCUAUCACACAUAGUGGCCAAAUUUUUCCCAAGAAUAUGAUGUUUAUAUAGUGUCACAAUUAGGGUAAACCCAAAUUGUUAUGGCUUUUCAUUCCCUUGGAUUCAUGGGUUCAAAGACACCAUGGAGCAUCCAUGGAGCAUUCUAUGGGCUUUAGCCCAACUUGAUAAUCCAUGGACUCUUAGCCCACUAUACAUGUAUGGAUGAGUUACACAAUCAAACCAUAUAUUUAAUUACACUUCUUUUGAUCACUUAAUUAAUUCUAGAUUAAUUAUUGAUCAAUACUAAUUAAAUAAUCUUAUUAAUAUAUUCGAACUUAUAAUAUAUUAAUAAACCUUAAGUGUUAUUUCUCUCAUUUUAGUCUAUCCAAAUGCAUGAUGCCAUGCAAUCCAAAUGGACCAUGCUGGGUGGGGUCAAGUCUUACCAAUUAUAGUUAUGGACUUAGACAUUAAUCCAAAAAGAUCACCUGUAAAAGCCUUUGUUUUUUAUAUGAGUGAUGUGAUUUAUUCGGGUGGGGAGGGCAAUUUAUCACAAUGAUUUGUCGCGUUCCGAGAUCUACAGUUGAUAAAAUUUAAUUGGAACUAGUUUUAGUUAAAAUUUAGAGUCUAAACAUUGUGGUUAGGAAGACAUACCAAUAUUCACAGGUGGUUUCGGGAGAGUCUCUCCUGCAGUGAUCAUCAGUACUCACCACCAACAUUCCUUUAUAUUGGACAAUCUCUGUUGAAGUGUCCAGUUUCACCAUACUCAUAAUAAGCCGAACUUACUCCAAUAUCGGGGACUCGAAUGGUUGGUUGUGUCAGUGUCCUAAAGAAGAGAGCGGUGUGCCCCCUCCUAUUGAAGUUUUUGCUGUACAUUUCUCGACAAACACCGAUGUGAUGGAAAUUGCACUUGUUACAUUUUGGAAGGUUUCCAGCAUAUCGAUUGGGGGAUGUUGGAGUAGUAGGAACAACAUUAGGAAAAGUAGCAGCGUGGACUGCCAUAGUUCGUUGCCUUUUGGUGGGUCCUUGAGUCGGGGCGCCCCUUUUUCUUGGUCCAAAACUUUCGUUUCUUGGGUAAUACCUCUCCUUUGUCGUGGGAGUUAUUAGGUUUGUGAUUUGAGGUGUUCUUGCAGGUACACACCUGCUACUGUCCUUGGUUACCACCGGGAUUGGUACUACAGGCACCAAUCCCAUUUCUCUUUAUGUUGAUAGUGUUAAGUUGUGACAUGAUGGUUGUCACAACAACUGUUAUAGUGGCUUGAAAUGUAGUGAUCUCCAUUUGUAGAACUGGCGUUUCGCUGGUAAGCUGAUUACUUUCUUGUUGCGGCAUGAUUCUGUUGUGUGGUAUGAAACGAGUUUGUAAGUAACUAUGGUCGUUUCUAGUUGUAUCUCAUCUAUGUUUAUAUGUAUAUACAUAUACAUAUAAAUUACAUUUUUUGUUGUUUGGUUCCCGAAUGUUUCGAUCAUAUCAUCAAAAUGUAGUUAUGGUGGUAUUAUACGUACGUUAAGUUAUCAAAAUAGAACAUAGUCUUCAAUACAUUAAGUUGUUUAGAUUACAUGGGUCUUGGAGGGAAUACCUCUCUUCAUUUACUACUACUGGUUGUGAUAAAAGAUGCAAUAAGCCUAAGACAUAGUGUGAGCAGUUUAGUCACUAGCUAACUCGGCUAUACUAGACUAUCAUAUGCCAAAAUGGCGCACUAGGUGCCUAGCCAUUUAGCUUAUUUCACGAGUGGCCUCUUCUGCUCUCUGCUCUACUAAGGCUAUCCUGGCCUCAGCUGUAAUGAUGUGUUGGCUCAUGUUGGCCAUUGAUGGGUUAUGAGCACUACAUCAUUCCUAUGGUGUACAUGCAAACCCUAAGGCUUUGGAUCUAGUUUGUCUAAUGAACAUGCAAUAAUCAUCCAAAGCCAUAAACCUUAGAUCUAGCAUACAAUAACCAAUUUAACAUAUGAAAGGGUUUAGAUCUUACCUUUGAUUGUUAUGUAGCAAUAACAAUCUACUCCUUCUUGUAAUUAGCUUCUGAAAGCUUAGUGUCACAAGUUUCACACCUCUAAUAGCUCACAAACACCAAGAGCAAGAUGAUGACUUAGGAGAAGAGUGAGAGGCGCCAUGAACCGUCCAAGGAACUCCAAGAAUGCUUAGCCAUGUUUUUGGGUGCCCUAGAGGUCUAUCUAUACUUGUGUCUACUGCUAGGGUUUUAGGAGAAACCCUAAUUCUCUGUUUAGGCCAUAAGCAACCCAUGGAACCUUUCUAGAUGGCCCUUGGACGAAAAUCAUAUGGGAUUCCCAGAGAUUUCGUUCAAUCCCCCUCCCAAAAGGAAUCCAUAACCCACAAUGCAAUUAUCUUAUAAUUACAUUAUCAGUCCCCAAAGUUUAAUUAAUCCAUUUUAGCCACAGAGUUAAUUUCUUAAGUAAUUCUUGAUUAAUAUUAAUCAAACUAUAUGAUUUCUCCUUUACUAUAUUAUUCCUAUAAUAUAUAAUAAAUCAUAAUUAAUCUCUUUCUCCACAAAUCAUCCUAUCAAUUUGCUUUGGUGAAGGCAAUCCAAAAGGACCAUGCAUAACCGGGUCAAAUACUUACCAAAUAUAGUUCGGGCUAAGACACUAAUCCAAUAGUCUCCCACUUGGAUAAUUCUAGUAACUAUAAAUGCAAGUAUUAUCCGAUUAGCAAUCAUAGCUCUUAAAAUCUGCUGUCAACUCUGAUCUUAUCAGAAGCGUGUCCUUUAGAUAAGGGAUCAUAUAUUCCUCCAUUCUAGAUAUCGUAUAGAAAAGAGACAUGGAUUAUAAUCAUUCUCUCAGUCUAUGCGUUAUUUCCCGUUUUCUGAUUUAUAACGACUGACAACGGAGUCGAAUUUAACACAUCAAAUUAGUCUCGGCUUGGCCAAGCUCUUAGGGUGUCAUUACUAAAUCAUCGAGGGGCCCACAUAUAUCGCUUUUAUCCCACUUUGGGUAAAAGGAACAGAUAAACUUCGGCUCAAUGCUCAGUUUUACUCACUCACCGAAUCACACACAACAAUACGUUUGAUAACACCAAGUUACCGGUGCGUUUACAUAUUAUCAAUGUGUAACCGACUCGUAAGAUACAACUCACACAUCUCGGUUUCAAGAAGAUAAGGUAUUACCGUGUCACCAAUCACUCGUGAAAAAAUCCAUGAAGCGAUCCAAGUGAGCGUGGGUUUAAUCCAAUACUCUAAUCUUAUAGCAGCACUCAUGAACUCUGUAGCAAACUUGUGUUAUGACUAAACACUUUAGUCAAUAUACAAACGGAUUCAUGACAAUCUUCAUUCAUUCCUACUUCCAAAGAAUGAGCGACUGUGGAGGGUUUGAAUAAUCUUAUUUUUCAGGAAGUCAAAACAUGCAAAGUGAAACACAAGAAUAAUACUAAUCCAAUAUGGCCCCAAAAUUUUGAGUAUAAAUAAAACACCUUUUAUUUAAUCACCAUAUUGAUUACUCAUUAUUUGUUGAUUCAGGUAAUCAACUUCUUACAUGAACUAUAAAAACAAUUGUCCCACGCUCUUAGCAUGCAUACUAUGUUUACCUAUGGUCAUUACUUUGAGAAAUAGUAUAACUGAAUAACAUUUUUAAUCACACUCAUUUCACAAUUCCCAAUCCUUACCAUAAGUGUGAUAAUACCAAAUUCUUGCCACUUAUAGAAUAUAUUCGAUUUUAACAUUUUAUGCAAUGGUUCUUUCAUCAUUUCCAUAUUUGCCAAGGUCACCAAGACUUUCCCAAUGAAAUUACUAAUUGCUCUAUUGGUGAUUGAUACAAGACAAUUUCAUAUUCAUGAAGUCUCACAUUCAAAGUACAUUCCUUUGAACGUCAUUCUUGCAUAGAAGUUUCUAAUGUAGACAUAGAUUCUUAUCGUCCAACUCCCAAUAUGGAAACAUUUCCAUAUUUUCCAUAUGACAACUCAUUCUAAAUAGAAUUUUAUCUAUUCAUAAUAAUGUCAAUAUGGUCAAUUCAUGACUAUACUUCCAACUGUCCACAAGCGACCAAUCCUUCCAACAGUUGUUUCAUUAUUUUAGUCAAAUGCGGUUCUAUUCCCUUUUUUCCUCUAAAUGCCCUAGGCAUUUGGAAAAUUUUAGAACGGUCGAAUAUUAUAGCAUAUGCAAUCGAUCCUAUACCCAAAGCAUAUGGGAUACGAUUCAUAAUGAAAAUGUGAUACUUUACUAGGUUUUUGCUAUAAUAUUGUCAUAAUAUUCCUAUUUGUCUUGUUCUCAAAAUUCGAACUAUGAAAAGGGAUGCCGUAAUCAUAAUCGAUCUUUGAGAAUGCAAAUAAUAAAUAUAUCCCUGACUAAAUUCAAUUAAAAUUUCUCGAUCUAAGCUUUUAGAUUGGAAACGAAGUAUAACAUUCUCUCCCUUAAUUAUAGCAAAAACAACUUUUCAACGCAACUUUGCAAAGUGAAACUCUUGUUUUUCUCUAAUUAAUAUUGCGAACGUACAAUACUUAAAAUAAUAAUAAUCUUUCUCCCACUAACUGAUGAUUAUAUCCAUUCCACCAUAACAUUUAUGCUCCCACUAGCUUUAACACGUAUCAGAAAACAGUUGGACUUCUAGAAGACAAUACUUAUUGACUUCCAAAGUUCAUAUUUCCAAUAUGAUAUGCUUAGAUAAGCCUUUAUCUAAGCUUCUCAAACUCAUACACCUUUCCUCAGACAACUCACAUGUGUGUCUAAACAAAUUCAGAACUUACAUUACUAAGUCCCAAAUGUUCAGACCAAUUGCCAAAUCUGACAAUUCGAACUAUGAAUAGGGAUGUCGUAAUCAUAAUCGAAUUUGAGAAUGCAAUUUAUAUAAUCGCUAUCUCCUUAAAAUCUCACUUAGUGUAAGCAUUUCCUCACAAUCCUUUUCAUGAAGGAGAGAAACCUUAUGACACUUAGAUUUUAUGGUGCAUGUGUUCCUAUCCAUCCAAAUUUGUCAUAACCAAAAUCAUAAGAUAAUGUUUGUGACGAACCCAAACUCUUAUGGACAGAACUUGUUCAUUCUUAAUUUCUUGCCAUCAAGGGUCCCACCAUUGCUUCGAAGUUAUUUUGUCAACAUGAUAGGUUACAAUACUCAAGUCGUGUGCUAGUGUUUAAUAGGUUUACUUCUUUAUUGGUUCUAGAAAGUUUUCAAGAUCUUUAGACUCCCACUGACCUCUUAACGUAUUAGAUUCUCUUAUCAAGAAACAUUUCUUGACAAAAUAAAUAUCCAAGAGUUAGUGUGUGUCUAUAUCAAGACAAAACCUACACGUAAUUUGGUACUAGUUGGUCUUUGUCUUAUUCAAGACAUCACCACUUACCAAAAUGGGCAAGUGUAAGAACAUUCCUACUUAAGAUUAUGUCACUGAGGUUACAAUAUUGGAGUACGAUUCUAAGACUUGAUUUUGGAACGAAGUACGAUUCAUCUUAUUGACUUAACCACUACAACAAUUAUCGAUUCCUCUUCUUAGCCAAACUAGUUCACUAAGGUGUCCUUAGAGGAUAAAUUGUAAUAUGGUUCCUACAAUUACCAAGACGAUCAUAAAACAAGAAACAAAAGUACUCUCCCUUCUUCUUAGAUUGGAGAAACUUUUUAUCUUUCUGCCUUCAUUGAUUCUACUUAUUCGUUCUUUCAUUCAUUGAAACUUUUCAAUGAUUCAGAAUUACACUUAAUCUUGUAAGUAUAACCACAUUUACUAGACUUGUAGUAAAUCAUGACGAAUAAUGUUAUUAUUAUUUACGGUGGACUUGACUGGUGCACAACAUUGUAUAUUAGUUCCUUUAGUCCUUCACUUGACUCACAUACUUAUGUAAACAAGGAAUAAGUCUUAAUUACUUAAGUACCAAGACUUCCAUACAUCAAACAAUACAAGUUGUAUGAUUCCAAGUUUCUGUCCAAUUGAAACUUUGGCGAUGAGAAUCUUUCCUUACUUAGAAAAUUAUGUCACUACCAUAACUAUCAUAACUAAGAAUCACAUCCAUUUAUAGAAACACACAAACAUCAAUUUUUCACAACGAUUUUAUUGCAAGGAUAUAUAUAUAANUAUUUUCUUCAUAAAAGUAGCGUAAAACAUGUCCUUACAAUGCAAAAUCAACUAAAAAACUAUGUAAUCAAAUAUUCCUAAUGUUAGAACACUGAAAGUGACCCUCUUGAACUUUCCAUAAUCGCAUCCAACUUGCUACCGCAAUGAAAGAAUCUACCGCAGUCAUCCGAAUUCAGAAGACAGCAAGCCUUAGUACUUAGUCUUUUUGUCUUUUCUUUAUGCUUUCUAUUUUCCAGUAUGCCUUGCAUGGCUACUUCUAAAAGUUAUCUUUUGUAAUGCUUAAGUCUCUAUAAAUAGAGCUCACUUGUUCUAAAUCAAAUACUCAUCUUCAAGUAUCUUUACUACUUAUCUCAGAAAUCUUCUCCUCUCUCUUUUCUUACUAUCAUAUCUGUUCAUAAUCUCUCUUCGGAGCAAGUCCUUGUGACUUCUUCACUAAGUUUGAUCUCACUUACUAACAUUGGUUUGAAUGCAAUCCAAGUUAUGAAUGAACUUACUUGUAUUCUUGAUAUAACAAUUGCUGUCAUUUACAUUACCUUACUUUCCGCAUCUAACUCACUAACCUCUAACUAUUAAUAUUAUUGUUGAGCUAACAGAUCCUUCGAGAUUAACUAUUCCGCUAUAUACUUUUUCUAACCAUUUUUGUUCAAGUGUGUCUCAAAGUUUUUCUCUCAACAAUUGGUAUCAGAGCCAGAGUGGUUGCUAUUAGAAUAUCGGAAAUCUGAUUUUUCAAAGUGCCCUCUAUACCACUGAAGGUCAUUUCUAAACAAAAUUUCUAAUGGCACAAUCGUUAUCACUGAAUGUUUCCAACAGUGUUGGUGGUUCCUAUCAAGCCCCAAUACUGGUUGCAAAUGGGUAUCACCACUGGUCUCAAAGGAAGGAGAGAUAUCUCAGACAACUUGGUAGAGACGCCUGGAGAUCUGUAGAAGAAGGACCCAAUGUUCUAGUCCUUACCCCUGUUCAAACUGAUGGAGCCACAACAAGACUUGGAGGAGGUCAACCAGCCUUGAAUCGUCCCACAAAAGAUGAUCUAAACAAAAUGUUGAGUGAUGCUAUUGCCUUUUAUGAAAUCUCUUGUGGAGUUGCUCCUGACAACUUCGACAUCAUCAUAAAUUGCAAAUAAGAAAAGGAGAUUUGGGAUGUUCUAAAAAAACUUGUAUGAAGGUUCAGAGCAGGCUCAAGACAAGAAGCUCACUACAGCACUCAACAAAUUCUAUAAUUUCAAAGCCGACUCUGGUGAAAGUUUGGAAGAUUCAUUUAAAAGGUUCAACUUGAUUGUCACAAAACUGUCCAAUGCGGGUACCAUCCGCAGCAAUCAUGAAACAAAUCUGCAGUUUCUUAAUGGCUUAGGAAGACACUGGACAACAGCCAAAAUGAUUGUACAAGGUGACAGGAAGAUUCACUCCUUAUCUCUCUAUAAGCUUUAUAGAGAAUUGCAAGCUCAAGAGUCCACUGUACUCAAGGACUGCUCAGACAUCAGAGGACCACUCACAUUAGUAGCACAAUCACCUCACACUCAAACCUAUCCCACCUCAUAUGACUCUCCACCGCAGUCAUAUGAAGCUGACUAAGAAUAUGACGAUGAAGAAGAGUUUCAGAAUGCCAUUGCUCUUAUUAGUCAGAAAUUCAAUCGCUUACCACCUUCAUUUCGCAAAAACCNAAUUCAAUCGACCACCUUCAACCGUAACUUUCAGAACAAUCACUUUUGUUCCACUAAAAACCCUCUCCCUACACCGCAGUCUCAGCAGACACAGUCAAAAUAAGUACCACCACAGUCCAAAUCAACUGAAUCUGGUACCUCUAUAGAAGACAAGAGUGAUGUCAUCAUAUGUCACAAAUGCAACAAGGAAAACCAUUUUGCCAAAGAUUGCAAGGCAAAUGUAGUAAAAGAUAGAGCAUUCUAUCUUCGAAUGGCUCAAGAACUGGAAGAUAAAGAAAAGGGAAAGGCCUACGUUGCUCAAGUGAAAAGGAAUCAUCAAGUGUGGUCAUCAAGAGAUGAAGAUGAAGAAGUCCUUAGCACAGGAAAAGGCAAGAUCUGUAUGAUAGCAACUACUGAUGAAGAUGGCUCAUCCAAUCCAAAGAAGAACCAUUUCCAUAUGGCUAAAAAUGGAACUCUCAACAUUCUGGAACAGGUAAAACUCAAGAUUCAAAAUUUAUAUAACAACAUCCAUGAUUGUCAACCUUUCAUAGACACACUCAAUGACACUUGUGAUGCUGUCUUACAGACUACAAUAAAGCCCUAGAUGAGAAGAACAUCGCUUCGCAGGAGAUGUUCCAUGUUAGAGGAUGUUUGGACAAUAAGAGACUCAAAAUGGCAAUGAUAGAGAAGGAUUUAAUGUUAGAAAAGGAUGCUAGAAUGCUUAGUGAAACUCAAUUAGAAAUAGCCUUAAAUCAAAGAGAUCUAGUACAAAAUGAAAUUGUACGUUUAAAUCUUUUAAUUGAAAAGAUGUUUAAUGAAACUGAGGCCAUUGAGAAUCUUGUCAAUAAUAGGAAUGUUGAUAACACUUUUAACUAGGGUUGGUCCAAUGGUUACCCAACCGCAACAGACUCAUCACCUUGGUUCACACCAGAACAUCCCUAUGUCCUACCAGACCGCAAUUUCUUAUUUCCAGUCAAUAGCAAAACAUUUCCUGAGGAUAUCCAAGCCCACUUUGGAAAACUUCAUGAUUUGAGUAAUAAUUGUAUUAUAGAAGAAAUUCUCCCUGAAUCUUCUACUCAUGUCAACAACACAGAUUCUCAGACAUCAUCCGUAGUUGAUGAGGAAAUUGUUAUUGAAAGUCCUGAAGUCUCGUUAGACUUCCCAUCCUUACAGUCCGACCGCAGUAUCUCUGACUGUAGUCACAUACUGCAAUGUGUCCCAUAACCUAAUAUCAAUUGUCCCAAAGAAGUAUUCACCAAGACUUACUUUGUAGUAGUCCAAAACACGACUCCAUUGAUUAAAGUCAAGACUUUUGUGAUCAUUGAGCCAAUUAAUCAUGAAUUACCAAUUGAAAACUUUGAAUUUGGUCAAUGCUCUCAAAGUCCUAAUUUCUCAAGUUCGGAUGAAUCGAGUCACUAUUUUUCAAAAUCCUCUAAAGAUUCUAGGAAACCACAAUUAAAUAUCACUGACCGCGGUUCUUCUAAGACCGAAGCAAAAAGAGUUUUUAAAGAAGAAUUUCGUUCUCGUGGAAAGCAACGAGAAAUUUGCUUAAAAGUCAAGAAAAUUGUGAAAUGUGCUAAAUCAAAAAGUCCUAAGAAGUUUGUUUUUUCAAAUUAUCAUUUCAAGAAAACUGUUUCCAAGAAAACAAAAAGAAAGGAGUUCACUGUUUCUGACAAUACUCAAAAACAAUCCAAACAUGAGGAUAAGUCUUUUCGUUCAAAUGGAUUUCAAAUCUAUUGUAUUAAUGACCCAAAAUGGAAAGGUAUCUUACCUAUUCCAACCAUUUCAGUAUCACAGUCCCAAAAAUGGAAAGCAAUUUUGCCAAAUCCGGCACCCAAAAAGUCAUUUCAAACAAUUAAGAAAUCACAUCACAAAAGGUCAGCACGUAUCUUCACACCUGCCAGAUCUGCACAGAACACCUUUUCAAAACACACAAAAAAAAGGUCAAAUCUGACAAUCUCGGAAUGGACAAAAACAUACUUUAUCUUCAUAACAUCAGACCAGGUCAAAUGUCAGGAAAAAUGACAAAAAGUUCUCUUGUCAAUGUCAAUGUGAAAGAAUUCAAAAAAUUUCCAACACCCAGGAUUUCAGGGUCAAUCCUAAUAAUUACUCUCAAUCUCACAAAACUCCAAAUAUCUUCAAACACCCAGGACUAGGUUUGAAAGUUUACUUAAAACCUGUCCCUGCCACCUCACAUCAUGCAUCGAUUAACACAUCGUAUGUGACCUCGGGCUCUAAACUCACUUGGGUGCCCAAAUUAACCACUUAACUGUGUAGGCAUUGUGCAAGGAGGAUCAAGAAGAAGAAUGGUUGAUCGACAGUGCCUGCUCCUUGCGCAUGACCGGAAGGUUAGAAUACCUUCGGGAUUUUAGGCCUAUAUGCAAUGGUGGAAAUUUCACCUUUGGAAACAAUGCAAAUGGCAUCAUACGAGGCUACGGUGUUCUCACCACGGGGAACUUUUCCCUUCAAAAGGUUGCUUAUGUAGAAAGCCUUAAACACAAUCUCAUCAGUGUUGGCCAACUAUGUAAAACAGCUCAUCGAGGAGAAUUUGAUGAUCAAUUAUGUUACAUAAUGAAAGGUGACCGAAGCACUUGCUUAAUCAAGUCUCGCUCAGAAGGCACAAUGUAUCCUCUGGAUAUUUCUCUCAUCAUUGGUAAACCGCAGCUGUGUUUUCUUUCUAAAGCUAUAUGCGACCUCAGCUGGCUAUGGCACCGCAAGCUAGCUCAUCUCAACUUUAGAUACAUCAGCAAUCUAGUCAUUGGAGAACUAGUCCGCAGUCUCCCUAUUCUCAAAUUCAACAACGAUACUCUCUGUCCAGCUUGUGAAUGUGGAAAACAAGACAAAGCCAGUCACCCUCUGAUAAUGGAUUCAUCAAUUUCAGAGCCUAUGGAACUAUUACACAUUGAUCUCUGCGGUCCGUCAACGGUAGCCAGUCUCCACCACAAAAAAUACAUGUUGAUGAUUUUACUUGCUUUACAUGGGUCUUCUUCCUCAGACUCAAAUCAGAGACACCGCAGAUCUUUAUCAAAUUAAUCAAAGAAAUAGAACUUCAGAUCAAGCUUCCAGUCAGACACAUCCACAGUGAUAAUGGAACUGAGUUCACUAAUCAUCUUCUCAACAGUUUCUUGGUGAUAACGGAACUGAGUUCACUAAUCAUCUCACAACUUCUCAGCACCCUACACUCCUCAACAAAAUGGUGUCGUCGAACGAAGAAACCGCACAUUAGUAGAAGCAGCCAGAUCCAUGCCUAACUUCGCCCAUCUUCCUCUCUACUUCUACGCUGAAGUUGUAGCAACUGCGAGCAUUGUCUAGAACCGAAGCAUUGUGUGCAAACGUCUCAACAAAACACCAUACGAAGGUCUUAACAACCGCAAACCAAAUGCUCGUUUCUUUCACGUCUUUGGGUGUAGAUGUUUCGUGAUCAACAACAGGGAUCAGCUUAAUAAAUUUGCACCAAAGUCUGAUGAGGGUAUCUUCCUUGGUUACUCCACUAACAAGGUUGCUUAUUGAGUGCUUAUCAAACGUACAAGGUUGAUCAUUGAAAGCUUCGAUGUGAAAUUCGAUGAUUCUCACAUCCGCGAUGCCCCUUCAUCCACUGAAACCACCGCAAUCAUGGAAUGUGACAUUCCUGCAUCUUCUGGCCCCUUAGGCCUAGUCGAAGUCAAUUAUGAUGAUCUCUUUGAACCGGUUGAAACGGCAAAACUAUCAAAAGUUCUUAUAUCUCCCACCGCUCAACAACAAAAUGCUGACAUCUCUGGACCAUCUACAUCCGAAGAAGUUUCUCUCAACACUUCCACCUCUCCGAUUGAGGGGGAAAGCUCUACUCUAGAUCUAGCGGCAACCGUCGAGGUUCCAGUACUUGAUGUUGUUCAAGUUCCUACCAGCAGAGAAGCAUUUCCAUCAAAUGUAUCCUCAGAUUCGGAUGAUGAACUCAUAGAGAAUAUUGAUACUAGAACCGAUCCAAGAAUUGUCACUCUCCCAUCCGCAGUCCAGGGGGAACCCUCUCAGGUUCCAGAUAGACUCCCUUCAACUAUCUAGGGGGAACCUAUCAAAGAUAAUGUCUCUCUCACUCCAACAAGUCAAGAUGACUCAGUAGGUUGUUCUCAAAUCCAAGGGGAACUUCCUUCCUCACAUGAAGCAACCUUGGAUAUUCUACCGCAGCUGCUGAUCAUCUGAUGCCUCGCCUACAUGUAUGGACGAAGGAUCGCCCACCAGGUCAAAUUAUUGGGAAUCCAUCUGUAGGUAUACAAACUCGAUCUGCCAAAGAUUUAUCUGAUCAUUGUCACUAUGCAGCAUUUAUGUCCGCAGUCGAGCCUCAAUCUAUCAAAGAAGCCUUAUUGGAACCAGAUUGGAUUUCUGCAACGCAAGAAGAACUGGAAGAAUUUGAAAGAAACAAAGUGUGUCAACUUGUUUCCAUCCCACAAGGUCAUACUAUUGUUGGUACCAGACGGGUUUUCAAGAACAAGUUAGAUGAAUCUGGUGCAGUCAUCAGGAAUAAGGUAAGGCUAGUUGCUAAAGGUUAUAGCCAACUGGAAGGUGUUGACUACGAUGAGACAUACGCUCCGGUAGCUAGAAUUGAAGCAAUUAGAAUAUUCUUAUCAUAUGCCUCUCACAAAAACAUCAAACUGCGCCAAAUGGACGUUAAGAGUGCUUUUCUCAAUGGGGAAUUACAAGAAGAGGUUUAUCCUCAACAACCUCCCGGAUUUGAAAGUAUCGAGUUCCCUGAUCAUUGUUACAAGCUUCUGAAAGUUGUCUACGGUCUGAAACAAUCCCCUAGAGCUUGGUAUGAAACUCUUUCAGAAUUAUUAGUUUCUUUAGAAUACAAAAGAGGAGUGAUUGAUCCCUCAUUAUUUAGAAAAGCAAACGGGACUCACCUUAUGCUUGUACAAAUAUAUGUGGAUGAUAUCAUCUUCGGAUCAUCUGAUCAAGGAACGGUGGAUGAAUUUGCUAAGCUCAUGACAAACAAAUUUCAAAUAAGCAUGAAUAGAGAGAUUAACUUCUUUCUAGGUCUCCAAGUCAAACAAAUUCAGCAAGGAAUAUUCAUUCAUCAAGAGAAAUACACUACUGAACUUCUGAAGAAAUACUCAAUGCACAAUUGUUCUUUUGCUAAGGUCCCUAUGGCCUUCGGAUAUAAGAUCUCUAUUGAUCCCUCUGGUGAAUCUGUGGAUCACAAGACUUAUAGAGGUAUCAUUGGUUCGCUAAUGUACCUCACCGCAAGCAGACCUGACAUUGUCUCCACAACCGGUGUGUGUGCAAGGUACCAGGAUGAUCCAGAAGUGUCAGACAUGACCGCAGCCAAACAAAUUAUUUGGUAUCUAAAAGGAAGCAAAUCUAUGGGUCUAUGGUACCCCGCAGGCAAUGACUUCAAUCUUCAAGCAUAUAUUGAUGCAGAUCAUGCCGAAUGGAAACUUGAUCGAAAAAGUACAUCUGGUGGUUGCCAAUGUUUAGGAGGAAGACUUGUCAGCUGGUCCUUGAGAAAACAAAGUUGUGUAUCUUUAUCUACCGCAGAAGCAGAAUACGUGGCCGCAGCAAGCUGUUGUUCCCAAGUCCUUUGGAUGAAGACACAAUUACUAGACUACAGGUACAAAAUGCUGCGGAUACCAAUUUACCGUGACUCUGAAAGUGCCAUAGCAAUCUCUCACAAUCCUAUUCAGCACUCUAAGACAAAACAUAUUGAGUUACGGUAUCAUUUCAUCAAAGAUCAUAUUCUGAAAGCUAAUAUUGAACUCAUCUUUGUUCCUACUCAUGAAGAGAUUGCUGAUAUUUUUACAAAAACACUUGACUCUACAAAACUUAAUGUAUUCAUACAAAUGUUGGGAAUGAUGAAUCCAGACCUGCAAUUCUUUUUGAAUUCUUAGCUACCGCAGACCAUCCUUGGUCUCCGUUGCGGUUCUAAUUGAGAAUUACAUAUGAUGGAUGGUUUUGGUACCGCAGUCUAGGUACCGCAACCAUAUAUCAUACGUAUUACUCAGGGGACCUAAUGGUCUGUUGUUACUAAUUUUUGUUCCAAGUGUUUUCCACUCAGGUCCUCACUGCAGUCUUUCCUUUGUUCAUCCGCAAUGACAUCUCCAACCACAAUGAAGUUUUUCAUCCGUGAUCUUUGUGAUAAUUUCUCAACUGCUGUUUUCAACUUAGAAAAAAAACUUUGUAUGCUAUUUAAUGAUCCUUCAUUAAAUAAAAUAAAACAUUCUCAUCGAAACUGUCAUCCUUUCUUUAAAAAAAAACCUAUUAUCAGAUCUAUUUUAGGGAUAAUGACAAAAAGAGCAUAUUUCCAUCCAACUCAUUCUUAAUUUGUCCUUUCCUCUCCCAAACAUGUCCCAUCUCCCAAACACGUCCCAUCCAUUACCACUUUCUCUCCCAUCACCCCCACGAUUACCUGACGUAUAAACAUACAUCCAUCUUUACAUUAAAUGCAAACCCUUUUUGGAUAUCUCCCAAAAUCUUUUUCAACCCGUUUUUAAUAUAUGUGGCUGAGAUUCAAUCCAUCUCUCAACCUUUCCCCCCAAUAAAACCCAAUCAUCGUUUUAUCCUCUUCUUACCAUUAGCUAGGGUAAAACCUUUUUCACCCCCUUUAUAAACCCAUCUUCUUCUCAAUCAAUCCUUUACGCUUUCUGAAUAUCGAUUGUCGCUCAACUUUCAAAAACCUCCAUAACUCUCAAGAACUCUGUUUCUCUUUUCUCACAAUGGUGAAAUCCGGUUCAUCCAAGAAGCAAUCCAAGGCUUCAGGUUCUGCAAAUCCCACAGGUUCAGACUCUCCAUCAAUCGCCUCCAGCAAUUUCAGAGCUGUGUUUGAAGAUCAUCCUUCAUACAAUGCUCCCAUCAAGCUCAUGAUCAAGUUCCUCAAAAAUCACCCUCUGUUUGACCCUUUGAUGCAUUUACAGAAAUCGUACCAAUUUCCACCUUGUUCAAGUGUGCGUUCUCGGCAUAUCGACCACUCCAAAACCAUCAAGAAGUGCAUCUCCAUCUUGUGAAUGACGCAUUGGUCAUUCUGACCAAGGAGAAGUUUCUAAGGUCCAUCAAUAUACUGGUUCAUCUGUCGAUCAAGUUCUUCUCUCCAUCAAUGGCGGAUAUUACUGUUGCACUAUACCAAAUGGGAUACUAGAAAAGAAUCAAGGGUAUCGGCGAAUUCAAGAAAAAUCAACUGCCCUUAGUGUGGCAAUAUGUGUGCCACUUCAUCAUCCGAAGCCGAUCUGGCAGAACCGGAGGAACCGUCAAUAUGGAGCUUAAUCUCCUUGAAUUGGUUUGGAGCAUAUUCACAGGGCAUGAUGUGAAUUACGGGAAAAUUCUAUGGGAUGACUUCCAUCAAUACAUCCCUAAGGAACACCGCAAGGAAAACCCAACAGAACUCACCUUUGCUAGGUUCUGGUCACUGUGCAUCCUUGAUCUUCAUGCCGAUGCAACCAUUCCCAUGGGCAACGACAUCAAUAUUUUUGCUGCAAAAGAUCUCAAAAGGUACAAUCCUUCAUCCGAUCAAUCUCUUUUUGGACCAAUCCGCAGGCUUCCCAACCAUAUUCUCUCUACUCUUGGUCCUGAGACUGCUGAUGUCUCAGACCAUAUUGAGCCUACGGAGGGUAUUGCCCCAUACCCUUCUACCCCGCCUCUUCCAUCCACAACCAUUAUCCCCGAGGGUACCACAGUCCCCUCUGCCACUACUCUAUCUAAUCUUUCUCAAAGAAGAAAGACGUUGGCAUCCAAAAGGAAACAAAAAAUACCACAUAAGGAUGCUCCCAAACCAACCGCACCCGCUAUGAAACGCAAAACCAAACCCACCAUUGUAUCUGGCAAUGAUUCUGAGGAAGAUAGACAACCAAUAUCUAUCCUCAAGAAAAGAAAAACCACCAAUACCUCUAGCCAAAUGCAUGACCGGACUGAUACCUCAGCUUCUCCACAGGCUAAGGUAGUCCUUGGGAUUGCCGCAACUCCAUUCAAUACCACCAUUGAAUACCACUCAAGCUCAUCAUGUGAGCUUGUUUCAUCAUCAUCAUCAUCUGAAUGUGGAGAUAGCCCCCCAGUUCUAUCUCAAGCAGAUAAAUCUGGACAUCGCCCUAAGGUCUCCAGGGCUUCCCGACUGCAUGUUUUUUGUCCCGAGGAGUUACACUCCAUCCUCUUGAAUAUAUCCGAAACACUUCAAACACCAAUCCAUCCGCAUGGCAUUUCUUUGCUCAUGCCAGAAUAGAGCCGAGGCCAAACAUGACCACGGGUCACGGAGACCAAGGAAGCUCCGAAAAUCCUAUUCUGCUUCCAUCAUUUACAGGUGGUUUAGGCACGGUGAGCACACAUUUGCAAGGAUCCGUGAACCCAAGGGNCAUUUCAAGGAUCCGUGAACCCAAGGGACACCUUGGUGCACACUCAAAGAAUUGACGGAGAUGAUUCAAGUGAUUCUUGGAGUCGGUAUCAACCAACUACUGAUACCGAAAUCAAGAAAUAUGCUGCCUUUUGAAGGGCAUUCCAAGCGCGAAAGGAUCAACAAAUCAAACAGCAACAGCAAAAGGAACGAGAACUUCAGGUGGCUGCUAAGUAUUGGGCUGAUGCAAUCAACAAUGCCUAUACUGUAGCAGGAAUUCUUCAUAUUCAAGACUGGAUGUCUCAGAAGGCCGAUUUACUCCUCAAAGCUCAAGCAGCAUCCGUAGCCCAACAUACCACCCAAAUUCCUCCCACUACGGUUCUUGAAACAUCACAAGACGAAGGUCCUGAAAUAGCAAUCAACUCAGCUCCUACCUUCGGUCUUGAUGAUGAUGAUGUACAAGAAGUAAACAAACCCUCUCCUUCUGAAGACGACCUCAUGAUGUUCGAUGAAGGUGAAGAAUCCAGUGGUUCUCACCACUCCACCUCAAAGCCCAAGAAGAAGAAGAAGAACGCAGUUAGCAGAAAAGAGUUUCUAUCUCUCCAGGCAAAAGUCGAUCAAAUCCUGGCUGCGGUCAAGCCAACUCAACCGCAACCAGAGGAUGUUCCUGGACCUCAAUCGCUAAUUGAGAGGAUAGAAAGACUAGAAUCAAGAGAACGACUGGCUGCGAACGCAUAUCUUUAAUGGUCAAAAUGGGAAUCUAAUCCCUCGACAACAAUCGCAAAGCAGACCAAAAAGACUUCAUAGAAGCCACUGAACGCCUAAUCUCCGAAGUCACUGCAAUCAAGAAUGAUCUUCAAACCGCUAUCAAAGACCAAGCCUCUCAGUCUCAAAAAAUAAUAGAUGAAACUCAUACCGCUUAUGAGUCUACCAUCUCGGUUCUUCACUCCACCAUUAAUCGCCUUCAACAAUCAUUAACAACCAACUUCCAUGGCCCUGAAAUCCUUCAACUCACUAAGGAGAUUCAUUGCCUGCUGUUCAAAUCAUCCUCUCCAACCAAUCAACAACUCACAGACGCUAUCAAGGCUCAAUUUUAGGAGGCCUUCUCCAAAAUUGAUGGCCUUUAGACAUGGCUUGAGGAAGCUCCGGUUUGGACUUCCUUAAGAGGGUGAAGUGAAAAAGAUCAAGCCCAUCAAUCUCAUCAAUCAGAUCACGAUCAUCAACCUUAGAAAUCAAUUUCACCACAUCAAACUCCACCUAUCAUCACUGGCAAAUUUCCCUCACCGCAACCAUCAUCUCACAAUACGCCUCGCAUUCCGUAGAAACCUGAAACUCCCCCCCCCAACUUCAACCAUCUUGAGGAGCAUAUGUAAUCUCCAAGCUCAACAGACUCUCCUACCACCGCCCAAAGGAAAAAAGACUGGAGGGCAGCCAAACUUGGUGAAGAGAUCUAGAGGCUAUGCGGAAUUGAUAUAGUCAUGGAUGAAACUGUGAUCAAUUCUUGGGUUAAUCCACACCGAAGACUGUUGGAUGAAGACUACACUCCUCAUCUUACAUAUGCUGAGCCCCUACUGAUGGUUACUGGGAUAUCCCUAUCUCACCCAAUGCCAAAUACUUAACUGUGUUUGAGCCAUUUGAUCAAAGCCUUCCAGAUGCCAAACGAUUGCCUAUGGAAUUUUAGAGACUUUCUCAAUUCUCUGCAAAGCAUGCUUCCCCCUUUGAGCACAUUUGCUCAAAUGAUCGACCAUCCACAACGGUAAACUACAGAGCCAGAAAAUUUAUGAAGCCAGAGUUUUUCGAAUACACUCUGACCCGAAGGGAACAAGAUUAUGUCCGGAACCAAGCUGAUUUUCCUUGCAUGAAUCUGGAGGAGAUUUUACUCAUUGCAAGAGUUUUCCAGGUCAAGGUAGAGAAAUAUCCGAAGAUGCAGAUUGCACUUGAUAGAUUCAAUAGCUUUCUGAUGGAUAUUCUAUGCGAUUUUGCUAAAAUCGAUGCAGAUAUCUAUCCUAUCAUUGCGAAGAAGCAUGAGUUACCUCCACUUGAUCCAGCACCGAUGCCCUCCGAAGGCUUUGAAGAAAGACCCUUAGGUGCAUCUAACAUCCCUGAACUCGGUGUCAUCUUCAAAAGAAAAACCGAUAAUGUCAAAUAUCUCAUCCCUACCUCUACUAUUCAUCGUCUAACAAAGAAGUAGCUUGACAUAUAUCAGACCGCAGUAGAAAAGUCAAAAUAUACCACUCCGGAAGUAAAGAUUGAAAUUCUAAGGAGGAUCACUUGGUUAGAAAGUGUCAGGAAGUUUUGGUGGAUUCUAAUCAAGCAUCUUCGUUUUGAUAAGCGAUAACAAUUAAAGAGGUCACUUAUGGGGAAAUUGUCAGAACACUGAAAGUGACCCUCUUGAACUUUCCAGAACUGCAGCCAACUUCCUACCGCAAUGAAAGCAUCUACCCCAGUCAUCCGAAGUCAGAAGACAACAAGCCUUAAUACUUAGUCUUUUUUUCUUUUCUUUAUGCUUUCUAUUUUCCAGUAUGCCUUGCAUGGCUACUUCUUGAAGUUAUCUUUUGUAAUGCUUGAGUCUCUAUAAAUAGAGCUCACUUUUUCUAAAUCAAAUACGCAUCUUCAAGUAUCUUUACUACUUAUCUCAGAAAUCUUCUCCUCUCUCAUUUCUUACUAUCAUAUCUGAUCAUAAUCUUUCUUCAGAGCAUGUCCUUGUGACUUCUUCACUAAGUUUGAUCUCACUUACUAACAUUGGUUUGAAUGAAAUCUAAGUUAUGAAUCAACUUACGUGUAUUCUUUAUAUAACAAUUGUUGUCAUUUACAUUACUUUACUUUCCGCAUCUAACUCACUAACCUCUAACUAUUAAUAUUAUUGUUGAGCUAAUAGAUCCUUUGAGAUUAACUAUUCCGCUAUAUACUUGUUCUAACCAUUUUUGUUCAAGUGUGUCUCAAAGUUUUUCUCUCAACACCUAAAAAAUCUAUCAUAACUUCCUAAGCUCAAAAUCUGAUCUUCGAAUCCAUGUGAUCGUAAUCCAUUUCUUCUUGAUCAGACUCAUCUCGCUUUUUCAUCAAGCUUCCUCUCUAUUCUCUGAUCCUAAAAAAACAUUCAAAUGUAAUCUUAUCACAUCAUGUAUUAAGAAUCAAUUAAUAGGAACUUAAUGGAAUUAGAUAGUGGAUUUUACCUGAAGUAGAUCGAAACGUCUUGACUCUCCCAUCUCUUAGAUCUCUCAGGUAGAUAGGGCAGCUUCGUCUCCAAUGCCCCUGCUCUUGGCAAUAAAAGAAAAUUGACUCUUAUGGAAUAGCACCCUGAACUACUUCAAACAUUUCGUUUUUCUUGUGAUCAAACUUUUUGAUCAUGGAAUGCAUUUCGUUGCCAUUUCCUAUGUCCAUGGAGGUUUGGAAGGCAGAUUCACCUAUCAACCUUGCUUCUCCAGUGCGCUAAAUCAUUACUGAUUCAGUAGCAACAAGCAAAUAGGUGAGAUCGAUGAGGGUCAUGCCGUGGUCUAUCAUAUAGUACUCUCUUACGAACUCACUAUAUGAGUCAGGAAGUGAUUGAAGAACCUAGUCAACGACCAGCUUCUCAUAGACAACGACUCCCAACAUUCUUAACCUAUAAAUGUGUGACUUCAUCUUUAAGACGUGUGCACACACUGGCUUUCCUUCUUCAUGUUUACUUGCCAAAAUGGCUUGAGUGAGCUUGAACUUUUCAAGCCUUUUAGCUUUUGGGUUAGGGGGAACAAUAGGAGGAGGUGGUGGAAGUGAAGCAUGAUCUCUUGUUCCUUGAUCGAAUCAUGGAAUACCAUCAUCAUGUUGAAAGCUUCUUCCACGGAAUUUGGGAAGACCAUAGUUGUCAUACUUUGACAUCUACAAAACGGGAGAAAAAUUCAAGUUAGAUGAUUGAUUGAUUGAGUCCUUAAUAAAACACCCAAAUGAGAUAUUAAGGCUAGGACCCAUCACGAUACUCUAAAACUUGGGAUAGGGAUGUCGUAACCCAAAUUGCAAAAUAUUUGAAGGUAAGUGAAUGACGAUUCACUAAUUUUCCACCAUGAAAAACGAAAAAGUGACUAAGUUUUAAACGUAUUGAAAACUCCUAGAUCUUUUGAGAUUCAUUAAACUUUUCAAUGGCAUGUUUAAAUCUCGAUAUGCCCCUCGAUUUGUGACUGGGAUGCCGAGGAUCACAAAACAUUGUGUGAAUAACCAUGCAAACUUACAUGGUACCCCCAAUGUUACAGUCACCUAUUCGAUGUGCCGGUUAACCACACACGCUCCACCAAACUAUGACAAACAUCGAGUCACCCUUUGUUACCUUUGCUUAGAGCCCAUUUAGUGUGUCGGUUAACCACACACACUCCACUAACGUUUUAGAAAGGGUAAAAAGUGUAAUUUCAUGAAAUUACAUUAAAUUCACUUUUGCCUAAAUUAACUAAGAUUUGGGAAUUUUAUAAAACAUUUAGUUACUUUAUAACUCAUUAUACUUUUAAUGGAAAGGGUAUGCCCUAUCCUAUUCAUUCGACUAACGAGCCUCCACUAGUCAAGAGUACGGUGGGUAAGAGUGGAUACCCAAUAGCGGUCAUUUUACAGGCCACUUCCUUAAACACCCCUUAUAGACCAGCUUCAUGAAUGAGGCCUACUAACGGUAAGAUUAGCAUUUAAGUUAUACAUAUAUAAUAUUAAACCUUUUUAAUUUUAUACAUAGUAUAAGGGUGUAUUUUACACUUUUAAAAUACUAUGCGGUCUAAAUUAAUAAAUUACACUUUUAAUUUAAUUAAAUGUAAACCAUAUCACUAUGGAUUUAUUAACUUUCUUUUAAUUAUACACUUAAUAAAUUUAAUAAAGCCAUAAGGGUGCAAUUUGAACUUUUUAAAAAAUUAGUGUUUUGGAAUUUAACCUUUUAAAAAUUAAACUUUUAAUCAAAAUUUGAAUACCUAAACUUGAGGGCAAGUUUUGAAACUUUUCAAAACAUUAGUGUUUAGAAUUUAAAUAUUUCAAAAUGAAACUUUUAAUCAAAAAUUUAAAUUCCAAAACUUGAGGGAAAAUUUUGAAACUUUUCAAAACUAUCUAGAUCAAAUUACAAAUAAUUAAAAUUAAUCAAAUAAUCGGUAAUUAUCCAAAUUUGACCUAAUUCAAAUUCUAACAAGAAAAUUCAAAAACAAAAUUACAAAUAAUUAAUAUUUAUCUUAUAAAACAAGUAAUUAUCUUAAUUUUGACAAUUAUCUUCUAUUUUGGUAAGGAUAAUCACAAAAUAUUGAUAAAAUUUAGAUUUACAAUUGAAAAAGGUUUUUGAUAAUUAUCCCACAACAAAAUAGGUCAAAAUCCCGCAAAAUCAACAACGAGACCUGAAAACUCGUAGAGUCAAGGAUGGACUUGUCGACUUCACAGUGAACUCGGCGAGUUCAUCUAUGAACUCGAUGAGUUCUGGCUCCAGAUUGCAGAUUUUCAUUAUUUUUAGCAUGAACUAUUAUAUGAAGCAUUAAAUACAUCAAACAAACAGUCUAUUCUCUGAUACCACUGAUGGGUUAUAAGCACUACAUCAUACCUAUGGUGUACAUGCAAACCCUAAAGCUUUGAAUCUAGUUUGUCUAAUGAACAUGCACUAAUCAUCCAAAGCCAUAAAAAUCUGGAUCUAGCAUACAAUAACCAAUUUAACAUAUGAAUUAGGGUUUAGAUCCUACCUUUGAUUGUUAUGUAACAAUAAUAGUCUAUUCCUUCUUGUGAUUGGCUUCUGAAAGCUUAGUGUCAUAAGUUUCACACCUCUAAUGGCUCACAAAUACCAAGAGCAAGAUGUUGACUUAGGAGAAGAGAGAGAGGCACCAAAAACCGUCCAAGGAAUUCCAAGAAUGCUUAGCCACGUUUUUGGGUGCCCUAGAGGUCUAUUUAUACUUGUAUGGGCUGGUAGGCUUUCAGGAAAAACCCUAUUUCUCUGUUUAGGCCUUAAGCAACCCAUGUAACCUUUCUAGAAGGCCCUUGGACGGAUAUCAUAUCGGCUUCCCAUAGAUUUCAUUCAAUCCCCUUCCCAAAAGGAAUACAUAGCCCACAAUGCAAUUAUCUUAUAAUUACAAUAUCAGUCCCCAAAGUUUAAUUAAUCCCUUUUAGCCACAAAAUUAAUUUCUUAAUUAAUUCUUGUCUAAUAUUAAUCAAACUAUAUGAUUUAUCCUUUAAUAUAUUAUUCAUAUAAUAUAUUAAUAAAUCAUAAUUAAUCUCUUUCUCCACAAAUCAUCCUAUCAUGUUGCUUUGGUGAAGGCAACCAGACAUGACCAUGCACAACCAGAUCAAAUACUUACCAAAUAUAGUUACGGGCUUAGACACUAAUCCAACAGUCACUUCCUCCUCUAAGGAGUGUAGACGGUCUGUAAGGUCCUCUUGCUCUGCUCGCUGGUUCAGUAUUGCUCCUGAAUGGUGUUCUUGUUAUUAACAGAGGUGUCGAAUUUGCAUUGUUGGAUUCCGGGCAUCGCCUCCGAUCUCUAUUACUUCAUGAUGGAGAGCCAGAACCUGGGUGUCUAGACGGGCUACUUGUGGUACAAUUUGAGGUAGUGCUUGAUUUGUGGGGGUGCUGGGGGCCCGGAGUGUGGUGUGGUGUGUGCAUGCCUAACACGGAUCGUCGGUAAUCUCCUCUAGCCCAAACAUGUAGUUGGGUUGCUCUUUGUGGAGGUUCACCCUGGAAAGAAGGAGGUGAAAGGGUAUCUUGUCUGUUUUCGAUAGGGUAAGUCUUACUAAGGAUCUUUCCGGCGCCUUCAGCCUCGUCUGGCUCUUCAUCAAAAUCCUCCCCCCCACCUCUGUAAUCCCCCUCUUGGUAUUCCUCGGUUCCUACCUCUGGUUUCUCCUCAUGAACCUCUUCUGGCUCCUCCUCAAUCCACCCGUUAGCUGCCAUGGCAGGGUAGUGGGAGUCUUCGUGGUGAAACUCAGCCAUGUUGUCUAUGCAAGAAUAGAGGUAUGAGAAAUACGUAUAUGGUUUAAGUGUGUGGUUUUGUGGUAUACUAAAAUACUCCUAUAGUAUUUUAAAUGUUGCGUUUGGUUCUGGGAAUCUUAGUGUUGGUAUGUGUAGACUCGUCGUUCACUAUGGCUAUUUCCCAACAUAUGCUAGUUACACCUCAGAUAAAGAUAGUUGAUCAGGCUAUAUUUAUUCAAGGUCUAAUUACAUAUCCUGAGGCCUACCUGUAAUUUUCAACUCAUCAUACUACGUUUAUUAUGCCUUCAUUAUGACACUGCCCUAACUUGUAUGUACUUAUACUUUACUUAAAAUAUCAUUAUGUUUUUAAAAGUAUAUUUGUAGUAAGAGUGUUUUAUCCCCAUUGUAUUUAUAGGUGUAUAUCGUGUAUGGUUUGAUAUACUAGUUCACUAUAAACAAUGCUCUGAUACCAAUCCGUCACACCCCUAAACCAGAAUGGCGGAAACGUCUGGGGGCACAUGGAGUGACUUCAUGUAUAGUAUCAUAACACUUGAAUAGUAAUGAACCAUAGCAACCUAAACAUUCAUACAUUGAUAAUACAAGUUUACAUUGUUUACAACACUUUGUUUGUUCAAAUUUUAAAUACAAAUAACUAAAUAGUAGAAAACAUGAAACGAAAAUUCCGACCCUCAAGAAGGGUUGAAUGCAUGUCUACUGGUUUCCUGAGAAUACAAGUGAUUUUGAAAAGUGUCAACAAUUAAGUUAGUGAGUUCAUAAGCAUUUUGUGUGAGAAGGAUUUGAAUCGUUUUCGUGAAAAAUGAUUUUGUAUACUACUAGAAAAUCCAACAUUUUCUUUAAUAUGAACUAUAAAUAUAUGUAUUUCCGUUGUAUAUUUUCCUCGUAAAAUGAUAAUGUAUGUUUACAUAAAAUCCAAUAUUUUCUUAAAUGUGAACUAUAGAUGUAUGAAUUUCCUUUGUAUACUAACCUUGUAAAAUGAUAAUGUAUGUUUCCAGAAAAUCAAUUAUUUUCUUAAAGGUGAGUUGUAGUCUUAAACCUUAAGACCAAAAAUGUACAAGUAUUGUUGUAUUGAAUAAUUAUACAUAGUAAUAUCUUUUUAUAAAACUAAUGAAGUGUAAGCUUCCUGUAAACCGAGAUAGUAUCGCUAAUCCCUAUGAGAUUUAUGAUAACCAUGCUUGAUAUGACUGAUAUGCCUAAACGACGUUCUUCAGGGAUCGGAAUUAGUUGACAUUUGUCACCCUAGACUUGCUGGUCUAACUGUAGCGAACAUCUGAGGUAAGGGGUUGUCAAUCCCGUAUAGAUCUAUAAACAACGGUCUCGCUCUCCCUCUAGGAGACUUUGAUUAUAAUGUAGGACUUAAGGUGUAUGCUAGGUAUGUACGGUGAAGAGAAUGUCUCACAAGAGCAUUAACUGAUUUAUGUGAACUAUGACUCCUUUUUCUUGUAAAACGAAAUAAGUAUAUCUUUUAAAAAUUAUAUGUAUCUUCUAAAAUGAAGGUGUGGUUGGUGAUUUCCAAACUAUACCAAUUAUACAUUAUCUUGUUUGUUUGAAACUAAUUAUAUUAUCUUUUAUAUGAAUAUGAAAGUGAAUUUUUGUCUAGUAUUAAAAUAUCAAAACAUUUUUGCUAGAAAAGCUAUCUUUUAGAAAAAGUUUCCAAAAACCAUGUAGUUUUACAAAUCAUAACUUUUCUUAUGAUUUUAUAACAUAGAUUAUGUUUAUUUUAACAAUAUGUAUAUCACAAAUAUUUAUACCAAAAACUAGUAUAAACCAUAACUUAUGCAAAUAGAUGAAAACACUUAAUUAUUUGUAGGAUAAACAAAGUUUACUUGUAUUCCCCCCCCCCUAAAACAUGAAAAAACUUGAANAAAAAAAACAUAAAAAAACUUGAAAAUGUGGGGGUAUGAAGUUACCUUACAAGGAUUUGUGGGUUGAUUGAGAUGAUAGUGUGAAGGUCUUCAAGUCUAAGCACUUGAAUGGUUUGAUGAACUUCUUGGUGUUUUUUGUAUCCUAAGGUUUUAACAUAAUAAUAAGUGUGUAAAAUAGUGAAACUAACAUAAAAUGCUAUCUAAACACUAGGGUAUUAUGUAAAUACUUACCAAAAAAUCUAAAGGUGAACUUGGGCUUAAAUCCUUUGAAACUUGGAAAUGGGUUCUUGAGGAAGGAGGAAUUUAAUAGUAACUAGGAUGAGGAUAGUGGUGAGGUUUUGUCAAGAUAUUCUCAUUUAAAUAAAAGGAGAAGGAUGGAUGUGAAGUUUGCUUUGAUAACUGGUUGUUUUUUCAUGGAUAUAUGAUGUGUUAUCUAACGUGGGAUACUGUGAACCUUGCAUUGGAAAAGGGUGGGAUAUCACAUCUUAAAGUCAAACCUUAUCCACUGGAAGCAACCUAGGAUGAUUCACCCUUGGUUUUCGGCCACAAAGAAGGUGAUUUCGGCCUAGGCUUGGCCGAAAUCCCUUGGUACCCACUUUUAUGGAUGUUUUCGGCCUUAGUGGACUCUCCCUUAGAGUUUUCGGCCUUAAAUGGACUAAAUUUUUGGAGUUUUCGGCCUUAAUGCUUAGUAGGUUUUGAGAUUUUGGUUCUAGGUCCAUCCUAGGGUGUGUUUUCAGUUUUGAAUCAUAUACUAACGGUGAUAUCGGUUUAGGCGUAUUCUAGGGUGGGUGGGGUACUAAGCCUAAGAUUAUAAAGCAAGGUAUGGUUUAUGAUUUAUGUUUUAGCUAUUUUAUUUGUCAUGACUUGUUAUAAUUUGUUUACUUUCAAGAGCUUGUUAUAUAUAUGAUUUCCAUGGUAUAUAUUGUUGGGUUUUUUACCAUACUAACACUCUGAUGGUGUACAUGCAACCCUAGAAACCUUGGAUUUAGGUUUUUUCUCUAAAAUACAUGCAAAUUUGAUUUCCAAGGUUUACAACCUAACUAGCAUUUGUGGUUGAUUUCUUGGAGUUUUAGAGCCUAGCACCAAUAGUGUGGAGGCCUCAAGUUGUGUCACAAAUCACCCAUAACAACUUGGAAAUACUUGAGAGAAUAUGAUGCUUGCUAGAAUCGGCCCACCCUUGUUUCUCACACACACUAGUGCCAAUUCUAGAACCAAGUACCUCUUUAUAUACCAUGGAGUUUUAUGGUUAAACCCUAAUACCCAUGACUCUUCAUUUACCUAGGAUCCAUGGGUUAAAAGCUCCAUGGACUAUCAAUGGACUUCCAUAUACUCUUAGCCCAUCCUAAAUAAAUCUUAGCCCAAUUCAUAUAUAUAUGUAAGAGUCCGUAUUUAAUUAGCCUCUUUUGAUCAUUAGAUUAAUUCCAAAAUUAAUUCUUGAUCAACAAUAAUUAAAUAAUAUAAUUUCAUAUUAAUAUAUUGUAACUUAUAAUAUAUUAAUAGAUUAUAAACAUCUUAUUCUCAAAAUUAUAUUCAUACAAUUUGUUAGGUGAAGUGCAACCCAAAUGGACCAUGCCGGGUCGGGUCAAGUUAUACCAAAUAUAGUUACGGAUUUAGACACCUUAUCUAACAUUCUCCCACUUAGAUAAGUCUGAUAACUAUAGUUGCAAGUAUAACUUCAGGAACCAACCAGAAAUUGUUGUCUUUUAAACUCUGAUGAACUAUGAAGAUCCAUUUUAGAUAUGUGAUCAUAUAAUCCUUUGUUCUCAAGAUAUCAGCCGGACAAAUACAUGGAACAAUGUCGUACUUAUUGUCCAGCACUUGUUUCUCCAUCUCUGAUUGGUUUUGACAUAGAACUAAAUUGAACACAUCAAUUAGUAUCUGACCGGGCCCGACACAUAAGUCUAAACCAAAUCAUCGAGGGGCCCAUAUAUCACUUCUAUUGCUAGAGGGAACAUAUAAACUUCGACUCAUAUGCUUGUACUAACUACAAGUUGAAUUAUGCACAAACACGUUUUAUGACAUCAAGUUACUGAUGCGUUUUCAAACAAUCAAUGGAUAACCAACUCAUAGUCAACAACUCAGAAAAAUUUCAGCAACGCCAGUAGUAUCAAAAUCCAUUCGGAUUCCAACAACAACGAAAUUUUCAGCCGUCGGGCUUUUAGCAUUCGAAUUAUCAUCAACAAUAAUUUCAUAACCAACCUACAGAUCAGCAAGCUAGUAGUUUUAGCAUGGCCUUGGAAGAUAUAGUAAAGAGCCUUGCCACCAACACUCAUGCAAAUGUAUCAGCUUGCUAGUUAUAUGAGUCGACUAAGGUCUCAAGGAGAACUACCUAUGCAAACUAAACACAAUCUGAAGCCUAAUGUGAACGCAACUUCCUUGAGAAGUGGGAAGAUUUAUAAAGGCCGAAGCAGAUAUGAACCUGAUAGAGAAGAAGAUGAAAAAGAAUCUUAAGAGGUGGUGACUGAAAAUAUGGAAGAAAAAGCAACCCCUAAGCAUCCCAAGCAUGUUCUAAAGGAAUAUAAGCCCUAACCAGCAUUCCCAUCACAACUAAAGAGUACGGAGCAUGAGCAAGAGGAUGAAGACAUCAUGGUAAUCUUUCAUAAUGUAGAGGUAAAUCUUCCGCAUUCUGAUGCUAUGAAAUACAUCCCUUGUUAUGCCAAUUUUUUAAAGGAAUUAUGUGUUUUAAAUAAAAAAAUUUAAAUGAACAAACAUUAAAAGUCAGUGAAAAGUUUUUAGCUAUUUUGCAAAAGGUUUACCUCCAAAGUGGCAGGAUCUUGGAGUUUUCUCUAUUCCUUGUAAGUUGGGUGAAAUUAAUUUUCCAAAAGUCAUUCUUGACCUAGGAGCUUCAGUCAAUGUCCUUCCCUUUUCUGUUUUCAAAAAAUUAAAAUUGGGAAGUUUGAGGAAGACCGGGACUAUUAUCUAGUUGGCUGAUCACUCGAAAGUAUACCCAAAAGGUGUACUAGAAGAUAUUCUUGUCCAAGUAAUCUUUUCAGCUGAUUUUUAUAUUUUGGACAUGGGUAAUUUGUACAUAUCAGAUAAACUCUAUUACUUUAGGCAUGCCAUUUGCAACAACUACAAAAACAAAAAUAAUUGUAGUUAAUGGCACAUUUUCAAAUGAAUUUGAUGAGAGGUGGUUAAUUUUAAAAUAAUUGAUGAUGAUUUUCUUUCUGAUAAUUUUUUUGUUAAUUUUUUGGGUACUAGCAGUCCUUUGUCUAAGGACUGAUGUGAGUUUUCUAAGGUUUCUAUGCAAGAAAAGAUCGACUUGAUGUCGGUUUAUAAAACGGUUUGAAAGUAUUUUUUUUGAUAAAACAGUUUAAGUAUAAAGAAACUUUUGUUUGAAACACAAUUAUAAAAGAGUUUGAAAUGAAACAUACGGUGUAUAAUAAACAGUUUAAUAAAGAGUUUUAAACACAUAAAAACGUUUAAGAUAAACAUUUGAAGAAAUCUGUUUGGUAAAACAGUUAACGUAUAGUAAAUCCAUUUGCAUGUUAGUUAUUAAUCACAUGUGAUUGAUAUAAUAACUAGCAUGAUUCAACUUGUAUCCUCCCAUAAAGCAUUUAAAAACAUUUAGAAACAUUUAAAAGGUUAAUUCAAGGGGUAUGAACUCACCUGCAGUGAGCAGAUCGGAAGGAAGUGUCGGACAAGUGCUUGGUGUCAAGUGAAGACUUAGACACACACAAUGAUCCUAAUUACAUAUGAAGGCAUAUGUAUAUAAACAGUUAGUCAUUUCAACACUAGUUAAACAGGUAUAAACAUCCUAAUGCGAGGAAAACACAUUGGUCAAGUGCUAGGACGCUAUCGGGUUGCAACAAAGGAGUGCAAGGCCUCAUACGGGAGUUGAUGGUCCAAUGACCAUGUUUGCUGGAGUUUACGGCCCAAGGGAGUUUACUCCUGGCCGUAAAGUCUCAAUUGGUCACCAAAAGGGGCUUAAAACUCUAAGGGCUUAAGUGGUUAAGUGCUCCAAAGCUUUAAACAAGUGUUUGGGUGGGUUUAAGGUCCUAAAAUGACCUUGUAUGGUGUUCACGGCCCUAGGACCACUCCCCCAUGAUUUUAAGGCCGUAAACUUAUGGUAAGGAGUACCAUUUCGUGAAAUGAAGUCGUUAGCUCAAUGUUGUAAGGUUCUAUGCUAAUAUCCAAGGCUCACUAAAGUGUUAGGGUGUCAUUUGCACCCUUAAAAGGGGUUUACGGCCCAAGAACAUGCCUUGGCCGUAAACUCCUUGAAUCCUAUGAUUUCUUAAGCUUUCUAAUCUUAAUGAUGAUAAACCUAGUGUACAAUGAGUUGGAUCAAUAGUACUUACGAUCUAGGAACUUGAAUGGUCGGUUUUGGCCAAGAACACGAGUGUGUGUUCUUGGUGGAACUCGAAGAUCUACAAAAUGGAAUGAUUUCACGGAGGAAAUCAUGUAAGAUUACUAGUUUAUGCAAGAUAACAACUAGUUAAGACAAUAAGCUUACGAGUUUUAAAGAUCGGGGACGAAGAUCGGGAUGAUACUUGAGAGCAUUUGGGCCAAGAGGAGGAAAGGAAUGAACAAAGUGUCUAGAACUUGACCUUAUAGGAGGAGUUUACAGCUCACAUGGAGUUUAUGGCCGUAAAAUCCUAUGUGGUGGCCGUAAACUCUUGGUCAAGGUCUUCCAGACUUGAUCUUUGAGCUAUCGAUUUAGCAAAUAAACCCCGACGCUUAUUCCUUAAGUGUACAAGGCUCAGUGCGCGCAAAUAAACCCAUAAUUGUGCUAAAAGACAAUACCGCUGAUUUUGACUUAUAUUGAAGUGUUUGACUGCACUGGAUGGAAAAUUUUGGGUUGUCACAUCAUCCCCCUGUUAGAUGGAAUUUCGUCCCGAAAUUAGAAUUUAGGUAAGUAAGUAGGUAUGAAUGAUCGAGUCGAGAGGUGGGGAUACUUCCUUAUCGAUUGGUUCUCGCGCUCAUAAGUGAAUUUGGGUCCUCGGUUAGUAUCCCAAUGAGCCUUCACUAAUGGGAGGUGGCGUUGCAUCGUCUGCUUGAUCUCUUGGUCGAUGGUCACUAUGGUUCUUCCACAAAUGUGAGGCUCUCGUUGAUCUCGAUCUCUUCGAGUAAAAUUACGAGAGUCUUGACAGAAAGCUACAUUUUCAAGUUUGAGAUGUGAAGGGAGAAAUAUAUGUUACUAAGUUCGCGGGGUAGGUUAAGUUGUUGAUGUUUCCUUUCCCUUUCUUACUACGAGAGUAUGUAAAUAAGUCAUUUACUAGGACAAUGACGAACUGAUCCUAGCAAGAAUGGUGUAAUCUAUUCAUUACGUUUAUGAAUACCAUGGGCGUAUUUGUUGUAUCCGAGGGGUAUCACUACGGACUCGCAGUUUCCGCAUCGAGUUUGGAAAAUUGUCCUCGGGACACCCUUCACUAACACUCGUAAUUGGUGAUAUUCGGAUCUUAGGUUCACUUCUGAAAGGUACAUCGUUCCUUGCGGUUGGUCAAUUGAUUUAUCUAUGCGAGGCAGAGAGUGAUGAUUUUUAAUGGAAGUCAUGUUAAAGUCUGCACCACGAGGACUUCCCAAAUGUUACCCAUACUGUUGGAAUAGUGUCUAAGGCUGAAACUAUAUUAGGAAAGUAAUUGACUCGAUUGAGCAUGGUCCUUUUGGGUUGCCUUCACCAUAGCAACUUGACAGGAUGAUUUAUAAUGAGAGAAGAAAUAUUAUUAAUAUAUUAUGAGAAUAAUAUAAGGAAUAAUAAUAUUAUUAUUUGAUUAAUAUAAGUCAUAAAUUAAUUAGGAAUUAAUUUGGUGACUUAAAGAGAUUAAUUAAAUAAAAGGGCAUAAACUGUCAAUUGAUUGAUAGUUGUAUUUUAGGCUAUAAUCCCUUAAGGAUAAAGGGGGACGGUUUUGAGGGCUUAGGAUAGGCCUUAGAAUUGUCCAAGGCUUAUCAUUAGGGUAUUGGAUUGCUUAGGGCAUAAGUUAUCCAAUUAGGGUUUAAGGGUGAAACCCUAGGAGCCUCACUAGUAUAAAUAGACCCUAUGGGUUAAGGGAAAUCGGCACUCUUGUCUCAAAAGAAACAUUGGCCGAUAUCUAGCUCCUCUCUCCUCUCUCUAUAAUCAUCCUCUUGCUAGUUGGUGUUUGUAAGCCAUUAUAGGAGUGACAAUUGUGACUCUAAAGCUCCAAGGAAAUGAAGAUUCAAGCAAGUGAUUCAAGGUAAUCUUUCAAAUCUGAUUUCUUAUGUUAUUAUACUCUAAUAGUCAUUAAAAGUCUUUGAUUCAAUGCAUGUUCAAUUAGAGAAACCUAGAUCCAAGCAUUAGGGUUUGUAUGUGCAAAUAGGAAUGUUCAUAUGGCCAAAACCCAUCAGUGGUAUCAGAGCCUAGAUUGGUUUCUAUUGAAGUGAUGCAUUGGUUGCUUGUUUAUUGCUUGCAAAAUUCGAUUUUUAUGUUUAUGCCUGGUGGACUUGGCGAGUCCCAUAGUGGACUCGGCAAGUAGGCUCAACUCGGCGAGCCCAUUGAGGUACUCGGCGAGUACGAGCGUCAGAAAGAGCUAAUUUCGGGAUUUCUUGCUGUUUAUCUUGUGGAUACUUACCAUAAUCUUAAUAGGUCAAUAUAAAUCCGAUUUUAUGAUAUAUUUGAGUAUAUUCUUGACCUAAUUGAAGAUAUUUAGCAAUUAAUUAAAUAUUAAUUUCCUUAUAUGAUAAUUGAUUAAUUAUUUUAAAUUAAUUGGUAAAUUGUUUUGCAAGAAAUAAUUAAAUAAAUCAAAUAUGGAUAAUUAUGUGAUUAAAUGUUAAUUUAGAUUAUUUUUUAUUUGAUCCCCUAUGUUUUGAAAAGUUUAAAACUUUCCCUCAAGUUUUGAAAUUUAUGUUUUGUGAUUAAAAGUUUAAUUUAGACAAUUUAAAUUUCAAACCCUAGAAUUUUACAAGUUUAAAAUUCAACCCUAUACUAAUAUAAUAUUACAAGAUUAAUAUAUAUAUAUAUGUAUAAUUAAAANNNNNNNNNNNNNNNNNNNNNNNNNNNNNNNNNNNNAUAUAUAUAUAUGUAUGUAUAAUUAAAAUGCUAGUCUUACCGUUAGUAGGCCUCAUUCACGAAGCCGGUCUGUAAGGUGGGUAUAAGGUUGCUGCCUAUAAAAUGACGCUUAAUGGGUGUACACUCACACCCACCGCUUGCUUGAUCGGUGGAGGGUCGUUAGCCGAAUGGGUAGGAUAGGGAAACCUCAUCUCCUCAUUAAAAGUAUAACAUGAAAUACAAAGUAACUACAUAUUUUUCAAAAAUUCCCAAUCCUAGUUACUUUAGGAAAAACUGAAUUGAUGCAAUCCCAUGAAAUUACACUUUGCACCCUUGCUAAGAAGUUAGUGGAGCGUGUGUGGUUUACCGGCACACUAAAUGGUUCUAAUCAAAGGUGGCAAAAAGUGAUUCAUUUUUUAUCAUAGUUCGAUGGAGCGUGUGUGGUUUACCAGCACAUCGAAUAGGUGAUUGUUACAAUGAAGGCACCAUGUGAAUUUGCAUGGUAAUUCACACCCACUUUAUGAUCCUCGGUAUCCCAGUCACAAACGAGAGGGGAAUAUCGAGAUUUAAACAUGCCAUUGAAAGGUUUCAAUGAAUCUCAUCAAAAUCUAGGAAUUAUCAAUACAUUUAGAACUUAAAGUUAGGUUUUCAAGGUGGAGAAUUAGUGAAUCGUCAUUCACUUACCUUCAAAUUGUUUGCAUGUUAGAUUACAACAUCCCUUUUCUAAUAUGUAAAUAUUGUUGUUGAAUCCUAAACCUAAUUUUUCUUAUUGGGUGAUAAUUAGGGAUUAAAAUUCUAAUCUAUCUUUGUCCUUUCUAUUUGUAGAUGUCGAACGCGAACAACGCUGCUGCUAGCUCGUUCACAUUGAUGAGCCUUUUCCAAAAGGUGACUUUCGAUGGCACGAACUUUAGUGAAUGGAUAAGAUACACUCGCACGAUUACUCGCUACGAGGACAAGGAGUAUGUCCUCGAUGAGAAGCUCGAGAAGAUCAACCCAGAAAUCGCUACUCCAGCUGAAAUGACUGCUUUUGAGACUCAUGAACAUGAUGUGACAAAGGUUCAUUGCAUCAUGAUAGCCACAAUGAAUGCUGAAUUUCAAAAGUCCUACGAGGACAUGUAUCCGUAUGAAAUGCACCAAGAAUUGUUGGAAAAAUACCACCAAAACAUGAGGCAGGAACGUUACGAGAUCUUCACUAACAUGAUCUCCGCUAAAAUGGGUCAUGGAGAAUUUCUAACCGUGCACCUGCAAAAGAUGCAAAGGUAUGUCGAUCGUCUUCGCAAUUUGAGUAUUGACUUUGGGGAAGACUUGGCAAUCGACAUGGUGCUUCACUCCUUGCCUCCGUGUUACUAUCAAUUUAGGAUGACCUACCACAUUAACAAGAAAGAGGUCACCCUAAAUAAGCUCCAAGGUCUCCUUAGGGUUGCUGAAAGCAACCUCAAGGACAAGUCUGUUGCACCCACUCCCAAUCCACCCGCUGCUCCUGUUUUGGCCAUUGGGCAAGGAAGAGGCAAGAAUAGGAAGGCUCCAUCUAAGAGCCACCGCAAGGAAAAGUCCCGAGAUGGUUCCUUUUCUAGUAGGACCAAAGUUGAUCCCGCUAAGCCUAACCCUAACCCAAAGGAGGCAGAGUGCCACCACUGCCAUAAAAUAGGGCAUUGGAAGAGAAGCUGCCCAGACUACCUGCAAGCCAUCUGGGAAGGAAAGAUGAAGCCGUCUUUCGCAGGUAUAUACACAAUUAAAUCUAAUGAUUCAUCUCAUGCUAUUUCUUGGGUACUAGAUACCGGAUGUGGUUACCACAUUUGUUCUGAAUUGCAGGAACUAAGAAGAAAUAGGGAUGUGGAGCAUGGAAGAAUAAAUCUAAUCAUGGGGAACAGAAUCGUCGCCUGUGACCAAGAUUGGAGUGUAUUCUCUAGUGGUUAGUAAUGGUUUAUGUUUAGAUUUGAACAAUUGUUGCUAUUCGCCAUAAAUGGCAAGAAACAUCAUUUCAUUUCAUGGUUUGUUUAGAUAAGGAUUUAGAUUUUCUUUUAAUAAUGAGAAUGGUUCUAUUUGUGCUUAUCUAAAUGGUGUCUUAUAUUUUGAAGCAAUACCGUGUAAUGGAAUUUAUGAAACUGUUAUGAUUGUAGAUAACUUAGGAAAUGAUGUUUUAUGCAUGGAUUCUUCCAAUGGUAUGGAUAGAGCAUCCUUGUGGCAUUGUCGUCUUGGACAUGUCAACAAGAAGCGCAUAGCCCAACUCCAAAAGGAUGGAGUGUUGGAGUCAUUCGACCUUAGGGAAGAUGACACAUGCGAGUCUUGUUUACUUGGAAAGAUGACCAAGUCACCCUUCACUAGUACGUGUGAAAGGGGUGAGGGUCUAUUGGACCUCAUACAUACCGAUGUAUGUGGACCGUUUAGAUCAACCACAAAGGAUGGGAACCACUUCUAUGUGACUUUUACCGNGGUCUAUUGGACCUAAUACAUACCGAUGUAUGUGGACCGUUUAGAUCAACCACGAAGGAUGGGAACCGUUUCUAUGUGACCUUUACCGAUGACUAUAAUAUAUAUGGGUAUAUCUACUUAAUCAAACAAAAGUCAGAAACGUUUGAAAAGUUCAAAGAGUUCAAGAAUGAAGUGAAGAAUCAAUUGGGCAGGAAAAUCAAGAUGCUUCGAUCCGAUCGAGGAGGAGAGUACCUAAGUCUUGAAUUCCACGACUAUCUCAAGGAGUGUGGAAUAGUUUCGCAAUUGACGCCUCCUAGGACACCGCAGUUGAAUGGUGUGGCAGAAAGGCGUAAUCGAACCUUAUUGGAUAUGGUUCGCUCUAUGAUGAGUCGUGCUUCACUACCUAUCUCUUUUUGGGGGUAUGCCUUAGAGACUGCCGCCCAUAUCCUUAACCGAGUCCCUACUAAGAAGGUUGCCAAAACACCUCACGAGAUGUGGACAGGGAAAGCUCCCUCGUUGGCACAUAUCAAGGUUUGGGGUUGCGAGGCUUUCGUAAGACGAGAUACUCACGACAAGCUUGAACCUCGUAGUGAGCGAUGUAUUUUCAUCGGCUACCCGCAGAAAUCCUUUGGAUAUCUCUUCUAUAGACCGAAGGACAAUGUUGUCUUCGUUGCGAGGAGAGGAGUUUUCCGAGAGCGAGAACUCAUAAGCCAAGGAGACAGUGGGAGGCAAAUCGAGCUUGAAGAGAUUCAAGAGUCGAUAGAUGAAGGAACCUCUACCGCUGGCACUCAACCCGAGGAGGAAACUCCGGUUGAACCGAUUGACGAAUCCUUACCUCUUAGACGUUCCGAUAGAGUUAGAGUUCAACCCCAGUUUUAUGGUUUUCAUAUUACUACCGAAGGGGACACGUAUAUUAGUGAUGGUACACUAAUAAAUCUUGAUGAACCUAAUAGCUAUAAGGAAGCCAUGGCAGGCCCGGAGUCUGCAAAAUGGAAAGAGGCAAUGGAUAGCGAGAUCCAAUCCAUGUAUGAUAACCAAGUUUGGAAUUUGGUUGAUUAUGUGCCCGGACGUAAGACCGUUGGGUGCAAAUGGAUCUUCAAGAAGAAGACCGACGUGGAUGGAAACGUACACACAUAUAAAGCGCGAUUGGUUGCGAAGGGCUUUACUCAAACUCCCGGAGUUGACUAUGAUGAGACCUUCUCACCAGUUGCGAAGAUUAAAUCUAUUAGAGUGAUGCUAGCAAUUGCCGCAUUUCAUGAUGAUGAGAUUUGGCGAAUGGAUGUCAAAACAGCUUUCCUAAUGGAAAGUUCGCUGAGGAUGUUUACGUGGCUCAGCCAGAGGGUUUUGUGGAUCCGAAGCAUCCGAAUAGAGUGUGUAAGAUUGGAAGUCUAUUUAUAGACUUAAGCAAGCAUCUCGCAGAUGGAAUCUUUGCUUCGAUGAGAAAGUCAAAGAGUUUGGAUUUGUACGAAGCGAAGAUGAAUCAUGUGUAUAUGUCAAAUCCAGUGGGAGUAUAGUAAGCUUCCUCGUUCUAUAUGUCGAUGACAUAUUACUCAUAGGAAACGACAUCCCGACUCUGCAGGAGGUUAAGUCCUGGCUCGGGAAGUGCUUCGCUAUGAAGGACCUCGGAGAGGCUUCUUACAUUUUGGGAAUAAGGAUAGUAAGAGAAAGAAGUAAGAGACUAAUUGGACUUAGUCAGAAUACUUACUUAGAGAAGGUACUAAAACGUUUUAGUAUGGAAAACUCAAAGAAGGGAGAA